This 52969-nucleotide long non-coding RNA is filed under the name Malus domestica (apple). The record is from RNAcentral. Lineage: Eukaryota; Viridiplantae; Streptophyta; Magnoliopsida; Rosales; Rosaceae.
UGAAAAGGUGUUGUGGCAAGGUUUUGAUUAUCCCACAAAUACGAUGCUUCCUUUUAUGAAACUUGGGCUGGACAGGCGAUCCGGGUUGAACUGGUUCCUCACAUCUUGGAAGUCCCAAGAUGACCCGGGAAUGGGCAACUGCUCGUACCGGAUAGAGACAAGUGAGAGUCCACAGGGGUUCUUAUACAUGGGUCAGACUCCAUUGUGGCGGACUGGACCUUGGAUCGGUGAAAGAUGGUCCGGGGUGCCUCAAAUUAAAAAAACUUUCUACUCCAACGUUACUUUUGUGAACACUCAAGAUGAGGUAUCCAUCAUGGAUGGUACUGUUUAUGAAUCAAUCUUCUUUAAAAUGGUGAUCAAUGAAUCAGGAAACAUUGAACGGUCCGCAUGGCAUGAUAAUAAAUGGGUCCCGUAUUGGUCGCCGGAUCGGCAGUGUGAUUUUUACGGGAAGUGUGGUCCGAAUAGCAUUUGUUACCCAAACCCAAACUUUGCGGAUAAAUUUGAGUGCAAAUGCCUACCUGGAUUCGAACCCAAGUUGCAACAUGAGUGGUAUUUGGGAGAUUGGUCAGGCGGGUGCGUGAGGCAAAAAGGAUCAUCCGUUUGCCAAAACGGGGAAGGGUUCUUGAAGUUGGAAAGUGUGAAGGUGCCGGACACUUCUACGGCACGUGUGAACAUGAGUAGGAGUGGGGAAGCAUGUAAAGAAGAAUGCCUGAGAAAUUGUUCUUGCACGGCAUACGCAAAUGCAGAUGAAAGGCAGGGAGGGAGUGGCUGUAUAACAUGGCAUGGCGACUUGAUUGACACGAGGACCUUUUUGUAUACGGGUCAAGAUUUGUAUGUGCGAGUUGAUGCAAAUGUUUCAGGUAUAUUUCCAUUAUCAAUUUAUCUUCUUUCUUCUCUUUUCCUUAUCAAUAAUUCCUCUUAUAACGCCGAGGUUCCAUGAAAAAAAAGAUCUUCUUUCUUUAUGUCAUUAACAAAUUUGAGGAAUUAUUAUUUAGUUUGGUAGUUGUACGUUUGUUAUCAUUCUAAAAAAAAUCAUUUGGCACUGGUCUCUUGCCAAAUAAUAAAAGUGAAAUUGUUUCGUCAAGAGUGUAAGAUGACUUUUUUAGAGUACUAAUUUUUUUUAUAAAAAAUUCAGAAAUAUCUAUAAAUUAAUACUAAAAAUUUAGUUCUUAUGUUCAUUGGAGCUUUUUACAGGGUUUUUUUUUUCCCGAAUUUUUACAAGGUUUUUUAAACAUGGAAAUAAAUGCGUGUAUAUCUGCAGCUCAAUACGCAAAGAAGUCAAACAGUUCUUUUGGCAAGAAGAGGAAGCUGGAAGUUUCAGUAGCAUGUGGUCUAUUGUUCUUCCUUUUGUUUUCCCUUGCAUGUUGGUUGGUAAAGAGGAAGAGAAAAGGUAAACAAAUUUCCUUUUACUAGGUUGCCCUCUAAUCAUUCACAAUUAUGUAACUGGAUAUUGGUUUUAAUUAUUUAAGAACACAAUAUUAUUUAUUUAUGUACUUUUAUCACAGGUAAGAGAAGUCAGGAUAAACUUUUCAAUGUGACCAUAGCAUCAACCUCCUGGGAAGAUUCUUCUGCUAGAACAAAUAUUGAUGAAAGUGGAAUAAACUCUGAAUUACCAUUCUUUGAACUAAGUACCAUAGUUAAAGCCACACAUAAUUUCGCUUCCAACAACAAGCUUGGAACAGGUGGUUUCGGCUCCGUUUAUAAGGUGCGUAGUUGCCCUGAGAUAAUGUCUCAAAUCAUAAAUCAGACUUUGAAUAGACAUUUUUUAGAUUUAUUUUUUAGCCAUCUGCACUCCAAAUCAAUUAUUUUAUUAUUUUUUCCUCUACUCACCCUUGUAGUUAGGCCUGGCAAACGGGUCGUGUCUGUCGUGUUCUUGUCGUUUUCGUGUAGCACCUGUUAUCUUAACGGGUCGUGUUGUGUCAUACAUGUUAUCUUAACAGGUCCUUAACAAGUCGGGUCGGGUAAAGUGACCCGACCCGUUAAGAAAAAUAUAUUUUUUUUCUUAAAUUUGCACAUACCACACUUUGCCACAUAAAUAUUACUUCAAAACAUUAAAACACAUAAUUUAAUAUAUAUAUAUAUAAUUAUUUUAGUUUUUAGGGGUAUAAAAUUGUUAAAUUAAUAUAUAUAUAUAUAUAUAUAUACAUAUAAUUAUUAUAGUUUAUUCAUACUUUCAUUAAGUAUAACAUAAGAUUUUGUGGUAUCCACUAAUGUAAUUUUUUAAAUUGAAGAUCGAAUUCAUUCAUUGUAUUCAUAUAGAGUCAAGGAGUGUAACUGUAAAAAAUCAUCAAAAUCGGAGUUAAAAUAACCGUUAAAUAGUGAUUUUUCGUUUUAUAAUCGUCGAAAAGUUUUGUCUCGUUACUUGAUCUCUGAAUGUUUGUUCUUUGCAAUUUUUGGCGUAUGCGAUCUCGAAGUAUAUACAAACAUGUAUGACAGUUGGAUUGUUGAAACUAGUUUCGUAUAAUGCGUAUCCUAUCAAAACAAUAGAUUCACUAACACUUAGUUUAUUCUUACUUUCAUUAAGUAUAACAUAAGAUUUUGUGGUAUCCACUAGUAUAAAUAUUUUAAAUUGAAGAUUGAAUUCAUUCAUUAUAUUCAUAUAGGGUCAAGGAGUGUAGCUGUAAAAAAUCAUCAAAAUCGGAGUUAAAAUAACCGUUAAAUCGUGAUUUUUCUUUUUAUAACCGUUGAAAGGUUUUGUCCCAUUACUUGAUCUCUAUAUGUUUGUUUUUUGUAAUUUUUGGUGUAUACGAUCUCGAAGUAUAUACAAAUAUGUUUGACGGUUGGAUCGUUGAAACUAGUUUCGUAGAAUGCAUAUCCCAUCAAAACAAUAGAUUCACUAACACUUAAGAGUUUAUUCAUACUUUCAUUAAGUAUAACAUAAGAUUUUGUGGUAUCCACUAGUGUAAAUAUUUUAAAUUGAAGAUCAAAUUCAUUCAUUGUAUUCAUAUAGGGUCAAGGAGUGUAGCUGUAAAAAAUCAUCAAAAAUGUGAUUUUUCUUUUUAUAACCGUUGAAAGGUUUUGUCCCGUUACUUGAUCUUUAUAUGUUUGUUUUUUGCAAUUUUUGGCAUAUGCGAUCUCGAAGUAUAUACAAACAAGUUUGACGGUUGGAUCGUUGAAACUAGUUUUGUAGAAUGUGUAUCCCAUCAAAACAAUAGAUUCACUAACACUUAAGAGUUUAUUCAUACUUUCAUUAAAUAUAACAUAAGAUUUUGUGGUAUCCACUAGUGUAAAUAUUUUAAAUUGAAGAUCGAAUUCAUUCAUUGUAUUCAUAUAGGGUCAAGGAGUGUAGCUGUAAAAAAAUCAUCAAAAUCGGAGUUAAAAUAACCGUUAAAUAAUGAUUUUUCGUUUUAUAACUGUUGAAAAGUUUUGUUCUGUUACUUAAUCUCUGAAUGUUUGUUUUUUGCAAUUUUUGGCGUAUGCGAUCUUGAAGUAUAUACAAACAUGUUUGACGGUUUGAUCGUUGAAACUAGUUUCGUAGGAUGCGUAUCCCUUCAAAACAAUAGAUUCACUAACACUUAAGAGUUUAUUCAUACUUUCAUUAAGUAUAACAUAAGAUUUUGUGGUAUCCACUAUUGUAAAUAUUUUAAAUUGAAGAUCGAAUUCAUUCAUUAUAUUCAUAUAGGGUCAAGGAGUGUAGCUGUAAAAAAUCAUCAAAAUCGGAAUUAAAAUAACCGUUAAAUUGUGAUUUUUAGUUUUAUAACUAUCGAAAAGUUUUGUUCAGUUACUUGAUAUCUGAAUGUUUGUUUUUUGCGAUUUUUUAAUGGUGCGAUCUAGAAGCAUAUACAAAUAAGUUUGACGGUUGGAUCGUUGAAAUUAGUUUUGUAUAAUUCAUAUCCCAUCAAGUUCAAUGGUAUAUAUAUAUAUAUAUAUAUAUAUAUAUAUAUAUAUAUUAAGUAGAUUUAAUUCUAUUUAUUUUGUACGUAUAAUUAUUAUAGUUUUUUGGGGUAUAAAAUUUAAUUUAAAAUUAUAUAUAUAUAUAAUUAUUAUAGUUAAUAUUUUGGGGGUAUAAUUAUUAUAGGCUUUUUAUAUUAGCACCCCACAAAAUGUUGAAUGCACCCCAUAUUAAAAUUUAAUAUUAAAUGACUUAUUUACUCCACUAUGCAAUGACAAUUUUGACCUUAUUAGGUUUUAAAAAAAAUAAAAAUUUAUAAAUACACCUCAAAUCACUUUUAGCAUAUUAUUUAUUUUCUCAACUAUCAAAACCCUUUCAUCUUCCAUUGUUGAAUAAAACUCUAACCAAUGAAACUACAAACAUGUUGAUUGAGAAAAAUUGUUUUUGACGAAUGGAAUACAAAAUCGAUGUUUCUGAAGCUUUACAUGAGAUAAGACUUCACAUUUUUCAUUGUUUUAGUGAUUUCGAUGACAUCAAUAAUUAUUUAAUCUUGCGUUUGCCGCAUUAUUUAAACUUCUAUAUAUUCAUAUUCAUCUUUUAGGGUUCAUAUUAAUCUUGCGAACCUAGUAACAUGAGUCGUAUUAGUGCUAGAGUCAUAUACUACUUUUACAAAUUGACGAUAGCCAUUCUCCACAUGAACUCCUACUCUCAAUCUUUAGCUGUUUGAUUGACGUACAUUUCUCAUUGUGAGUUUUUCUUUCUUUUUUCUUCUUCUUUUCUUGUCACUGGGAGAUGAUCAGUGGAAAAUGAGGAGAGACAUGGCCUAUAUUUAAAGAAAUCUGAGACCGAUUCAGUUUUGAUUUAUUAAUUAACUUCUACACCUGGAUCAUUAGCAGAGAGAGGGUCUUUAUUUAUUUUGUUCAAGACUAAGUCUAAAGACUUGUGAAAUAUAUAUAGAAGCAUUCUUUGUUAGCAGUAACGAGAGAGUCUUUUUUUUUUCUUUUUUUUUACUCGAAAAGACUCAGCACCACGGGUCAUUUUUAAGGCUUUUUAGAAGUUGAAUAAGAUGAUUUCAAACUAUACUAAGAUGAUUUCAAAUCAUCAUUUUGAAAUCAUUCGGUAAACUAAACGUUCAGAUGAUUUGAAAUAUUUUGACAAAUUAAACGUUCAAAUGGUUAGAUUCAAUCCCUGAAAAUUAAAAAUGAGUGUUAUAAGAUUUGAGAAAUGUGGGGUGUAAAGAAAAUGUGGGGUGUAUGUACAAAAUAUAAGAUGUAUAUUGAGAAUGUGGGGUGUGGGGGUAUUAUGGGAAAGUAUGUGGGGUGUAUUUAGAUAAUUUUUAAGUGAAAAAGCAAAUAUGGGGUGUAUUAAGUAUGUGGGGUUUAUUCAACAAUUUGUGGGGUGUUAAUAUAAUUAGCCUUAUUAUAGUGUAUAUAAUUAUUAUAAUUAUUAUAGUUAAUUUAAUAUAUAUAUAUAAUUAUAGUAUUUUUUAGGGUUAUAAAAUUAUUAAAUUAAUAUUCUGCUUAUCGUGUAUCGUGUUACCCACGUAUAUACCCGAACCAACCAGUUAUCUUAACAGGUGAUUAUCGGGUUACCCGAUAACGACCCGAUUCGUUAUCGUGUCGACCCGAACACCUGUUAAUUUCGUGUUGUGUUGUGUCGAGUUAUUGGGUCGUGUCAGGAAUUGCCAGGCCUACUUGUAGUUUAAACAAAAGAACAUAAUGAAUAAAUCUUGCAGAGAAAGAAAUAGAAUCAAGAAGAGAGAGGGAGCAAGAUUUAUAGAGAGAGAGAGAGAAAGAGAAUCAAGAAGAGAGAGGGAGCAAGAUUUAUAGAGAGAGAGAGAGAGAGAGAGAGAGAGAGAUUUUAGACAGAAAAAGUGAAUCUUUGUUAAUGGUUUCAGAAAAAAUACAAGGUAGUGAUCCAUAAGGAUAUAUAUCCAAACUAUAUUGCUUACAAGCUAAGCUAACAUUUAGCUCACAGGUUAUUGACACUUGCAAACAAUAUUACAGUUAACAAAAAUCAAGAGACCCGUCCAAUAAAGACUGGAAAGGCUGACUCAAAAAUAUAUUUCAUUAAAAUUCAUACCCAAUCAAUAAUCGAUAAGUGAUGGGAACUAUCUUGUUUCGACUUUUCACAAUUAUCCCACACGGUGAUGCGGGUUUUGAAAUUGUAUAAAACACAUAGAAAGUUUUAAAUCUAUAUAUGAUAAGCCAUACUACUUAUAUACAUGUGGAAAUCUAUUCACAAACCUAUUCCUAAGCCAUACUAAUUAUAUAUAAGUGAUGGUUGCAUGGUAUUGAUCUUCUACACAAAAAAAGCAAACGUUUUCCACCCUAGGAAAUUGUUAAGCACCUAUCAAACUAAUUAAUUGGAAACAGUAUGGUGCUUCCCAAUCUAAAGAGUCAAUGACACUAAAGCAGCAGAUUAGUGAAUAGAUUAGCGAAUAGUUAAUUAUGAUUUGUUUUGGGUCCAAAGAAACCUUGUUAGGUGAUGGUGAAUCAAUAUGAAAGUAAACAAUGCCGAUUUCAAAAUGGAUACUAAAGAGCUAUUCAUCCGCAUAAGUAAAUACAUACCAACAGAAAAGUGGGCUAAUCCAACCAAUCUCACCAAUGGACAUUGUCACCCGAGCAAUUCGGACUAAAUCUUUGAUGAAACAAAAAAAUGCUGAGGAAAAUGAUCAUUACCCAAAAUUCCAUUCUGAACAAAUAUAUGGACCAAUCUGAAGUAAGACGAAGAAUUAUGACAUGAAAAACUUAAUAAAACCCAAUUUGAACGAAGAACUCAAUCUGAAGCAGAUUUUCACAUGCAAUAGUUCUAGAAGAUGCCUAAGAUGACAAGGAGUCAUUUGAGACCAUCAACUCAACCCCAUUCGAACGCAAUCCCAAAAUCAAAAAGGACAAAAUGGGCAAACAAAAUCAAAGCAUUUUUAUGUACAUGCAUUGAGUUUUACUCCUUUGUUAAUGUAUAAAUGCAAUUUCAAGGGGAGGAUAUAUAUAUAGAGCUACGAUUAUGUUGAUAAUUUUCUUGAAAGGUAAGUGCACUAUAAGUUGAAUUUGGAUUAUAAAUUCAGGGUGUGCUUGAUAAUGGAAAGGAGAUAGCAGUGAAAAGACUAGCCAAGAAUUCUGGCCAAGGAAUUGGAGAGUUUAAGAAUGAAGUUGUGUUGCUUUCAAAGCUCCAACACAGGAACCUUGUGAGGAUCAUGGGUUGCUGCGUUCAAGAUGAAGAGAAGAUGCUGAUCUAUGAAUACUUGGCAAACAAAAGUCUUGACUUUUUCAUUUUCGGUAUGUCUUUCUUUUACUUUUGUUCUUCUUUUUAUACAAGCAAUAUUGUGGAGGGGAAAUCGAGCUCAGGACCUCGGGUGCAGGAUUGAAUGCUCUAAACUCAACUCGGUUACAAGCACCUUUCUUUUCACUUGUGUAUCUAAAAUUGUCGGUUAAAAACCUUGAACCAAGCAAGAAUACAAUCUAAUUUACUUUGCUUACUUUUUUCCCAUACGAAGCAAAAGAGGCGUUCUUGGAUUGGACAAGACGCCUUGAGAUAAUAUGUGGGAUUGCUAGAGGGAUUUUAUAUCUUCAUCAGGAUUCAAGAUUAAGAAUCAUCCAUAGAGAUCUAAAGGCCAGCAAUGUUUUGUUGGAUUCUGCUAUGAACCCCAAGAUUUCAGAUUUUGGUAUGGCUAGGAUAUUUGGAGCUGAACAAAUUGAAGCAAAUACAAACCGUGUGGUUGGGACAUAGUAAGUUUCAUUCAAGACUAAAAGUACACCUGUUUUUUACAAUUUUCAUCCCUAUUUCACAAGGCCACAAACGUGAGUACAACUUUUGUUGAAUACUACAGAAAGAAGCUGUGAUACUUAAUCAAUUUUAUUUUGUUGCUUCAGCGGUUAUAUGUCACCAGAGUACGCAAUGGAAGGAUUUUUUUCAGUAAAGUCUGACGUAUAUAGCUUUGGCGUUUUACUACUAGAAAUUGUUACUGGCAGAAAGAACACUAGCUACUACCACGAUAGUUCUUACUCAAAUUUAGUUGGACAUGUAAGCAUAACAUUAAGACGUACCAAACUUCUCUCCGUCUGCUUUUAUAACUUGAUGAUUAAUUUGUAAAUGGUUUUUAGGUUUGGGACUUAUGGAAGGAAAGUAGAGCCUUGGAAAUCAUUGAUUCAUCGCUGGGAGAAUCAUACCAUGUCAAUGAAGUUCUAAGGUGUAUUCACAUUGCCCUCUUGUGCGUGCAAGAGCAAGCGAAGGAUCGUCCACUCAUGUCAGCAGUGGUUUCCAUGUUGGGUAAUGAUGCAGCAAUUCCUUCACCAAAGCAACCUGGAUUUUUGUUGAAGAGUGGGGACCCAUCAGCCAAUACAAAAGGAGCUUCCUCUAUAAAUGACAUGACCCAUACAGAAGUAGAAGGUCGCUAAGGGGAGAACUAGACGAAUACUCGGAAAUACCAUCAUUGAAUUUAGAGUACGAUCACGUGAUAAGUGAGAUAAGAAUAGAUGAUAUACUCCGAUUUCACUCAAUAAUUUGCCUUUUAAUUAGGGAUCUAAGUUCUAUAUCUACAACACUCAUCAUCUCUCUUGUUGUAAAUACAUGCUAUAAAUUGUGUGCCUUAUAACUAGGGAUCUAAGUUCUAUAUUUGCAAUACUCAUCAUCUGUCUUGUUGUAAAUACAAAAUAUAAAUUAAUUGCAACACUCGUCAUCAGUUCGACGAGGCUACAUAAAAGUACUUUCUAACCGCCAUAGACAUUUAGGAGGGCUGAGAACUUUGUGGCUCAAGGUUUUAGAAGCAGGCAUACUCAGACACUAAUCAAGCCACGUGUCAACUAACAGUCAAGACUCAAAAACAAAAGUCUAGAGCGGGACAUGAAGCUGGUCUGGCCUGCUCGAAGUGACAUGACUAAUUAAUCAAGGCCUAGCGGGACGCUCGGCACACAUUGGACAUUUGGAUGUUAUGAUAAUUUAGUGUUAGAAAUGAUAAUUUAGAGCUUGAAUAUUGUUCACUAUCACAUGUGCUAGUAUAUGCUUCAAAAAAUUUUAGAGGCAAAAUAUUGUUAAAAAUUAUGAUGCUCUUAUUUGUACGGUGAUUUAUACAAAACACUGUAUUAAUGGUGAUAUUUACAUAAAACUAUAUCAUAGUGAUUAGCGAAUAGUGAUUUCUACAUAAAAUUAUAUUAAAAAUAUUUGAGAUGGUAGUCAAAUCUUAUGCAUAAACUCUGUUGUGAUAGUGCAAAAGUUUUUACAGAUUAGAAAUAGUCCAAAAUUGUUUGAGUGCGGUAUCGGGCUCGAAUUUUUUAACCUCACUCUUGCUCAUCUCCCAUAAGAAUCAAGUCAAGCUUACCCGCAAGCUCGAAAAAAUUAAAUAAGCCAAAUUUAAACAUAAUAGUAUUCAGUUCGGCUUGACUAGUUUGCAGUCCUACAUUUAUUUAAAACACCCCUCUGAAUUAUUACCCAAAGACGGGACCUUUUUGUAUCUUUAAGUUGAAAAGCUGAGUGAAUUAUGACUUUCUCCAAUAAAUCCAGAGAUGAUAAUUGGAUAGAUAAUUCCACUGACCAAUCAAUUAACUGUUGGAAAAUAUUAGUAUUUUGGUUUAUUUGAAUGUUUGGUUUUAUGGGUUUAGCCCGUUAGAAUUAGGUUUGUUAGAGAUUAGGGUUAAUUUAUUAUAAAUAGGGUGCUUUGUUAUUCAUUAGAGAACAAGUUAGCCACAAUGUAGUCUCUUAGGGUUUUGUAGCCGUUUCGGCAUUCUCGUUUGUUUAAUAAUAUUCUUAUUAUUUGUUAGUCUUGUUCGUUGCGCACUCUGAUAUUCAACUUGGUAUCAGAGCGGGUUCGAUCCUUAGGGUUCAACCCGUUCUCAUUGGUAUCAAUUUGUUUGCCUUUGUCGUCGUUCGUUUUAGAUUUGUUAGUUGGUAUUGAUUGUUUGCAAGGAAAAGAAAAAUGAAAGGAAAAAAAAAAGUUUUGCUUGCAGAGGAGAAGAUUCCCCAGCAAAUAAAAAAAUGGAACUUUAACGAAAAGCACCCGGUACUGUUCACUUUAACGAAAAACCACAUUUUUACACUAAAAAGUCAAUCCUGGUACUAUUCACUUUACCCUUUAUUUUGUCCUUAUCAUUAAAACUCAAAGUUUUCAAGCCCUUUUCAUUAGUUUUCCUAUAAAAAAAAGGGGACGAAGGAGAAAAGAAGAAAAAGAAGGAAAAAAAAGAGGAACCACGGAAAGGAAGAAGAAGGAAGAAAAAAAUGGGAAAAAAAAAGGAAGGAAAAAAAUAUGGUUGUUUUGUGGUCCGUGUAUUCUUGCAUUGGGCAUGGUAACUUGAACUUGGAAUGGAAAUUUGGCAUCGACAUUGGUAUCGGCAUCGGCAUUGGUAUUGGCAUCAGCAUCGGAAUCGGCAUUGGAAUCGGCAUUGGAAUCGGCAUCGGCAUCAGCAUUGGUAUUGGCAUCGGCAUCAGCAUUGGAAUUUGAAGGCUUGCAUCCACAUCUGCUUGUUGGCAAACUCAUGUCGUCUACCGCCAUGAGUUUGAUAGGGGGUGUUGGAAAAUAUUAGUAUUUUGGUUUAUUUGAAUGUUUGGUUUUAUGGGCUUAGCCCGUUAGAAUUAGGUUUUGUUAGAGAUUAGGGUUAGUUUAUUAUAAAUAGGGUGCUUUGUUAUUCAUUAGAGAACAAGUUAGCCACAAUGUAGUCCCUUAGGGUUUUGUAACCGUUUCGACAUUCUCGUUUGUUUAAUAAUAUUCUUAUUAUUUGUUAGUCUUGUUCGUUGCGCACUCUGAUAUUUAACUUUAACUUGGAUAGAGUUUGCACAAAAACACAAGAAGAUUAAAACCCUUAAUGCAAAUAUGUCACAAAAUACUAUAUACGUGACAAAUCCGAAUCGGUGUUUAGGGGCAUCUCUAAUGAGAAAAUACAAAAUUUGAGAGGAAAAAUCAUAUUUACGUUUCUGAUCGAUGUAAAUGAAGCUAUACUCCAAUGAGAAUGAUGAAAAUUUGAGAUCCCAUUUAAUUUUGUCUCCUUGAUUAGUGGGACUCACCACCAAAAGAUGUAAAAAAGAAUAUAAAUUUAAGUUUUUAUUUACAUCCUUCAACGAAGAUGAAUAAUUUAUAUUUCGCCAUUGGAUAAUUUUUCAGCAAAGAAAAAAAUAUAAAAUGUCCAUUUCAAAGUACUUUGAGAGAUGCCCUUGAGAAGAAAAGCUUACUUACCGUUAUAAUUGUUUAGUAAUCUGAAAUAAUUAUUUACCGCUAUGCAUUUUAGAAUCUAUUGUGUAAAUAAUUAUUCAAUGUUAUGUGCUAAAAUCCAGUUAUGUAAAGAUAUGUGAUUAACUCGAGAUAGAGUAGUUAUAACAUUCCAAAUUUCGAAUAAUCUGGUAGUUCUCGAAACAAAGAAAGAAUGAAGAAAAAAAACCUCUGAAAACAAAAUGUGAAAAGGUGUAAUAGUAAUUUCAUCACUGUAUUACAAUUGUUAUUUUUCUUUUUUGGGCGUAUUAAUGUGUUGUGAGUGUAUGAUUUGGUGGUGAAAGUCUCUGUCUGUCUCUGUCUGUCUCUGUCUGUCUCUCUCUCUCUCUCUCUCUCUCUCUUCGCUCGAAGUCUCAAAAACACACUCCACCAGUAGCACCCGAAAACCUCGUAAACCUUUUUCUUCCAUUUCAUUUCUUUACCGAGUGACACGAGCGAGCGAGUUGAGAAAUGGCGACUCGGUUCCCGGACGAUUUCAAGUGCCCAACUUCCCUCGAAAUAAUGUCGGACCCGGUUAUACUCUCCUCGGGUCACACCUUUGAUCGGGCCUCCAUCCAACGCUGGCUCGACGCCGGUCACACCCGGUUACAAAAGGGUUGAUUGCUAUUGCACUUGUUCAGUUCGUUCUUCUGAUCCGGUGCUGCGCUUCAAUCGAUAGUAUAACAACUGAUCAAGCGAUCAGGGAUGGCGAAGUUCUAUUCUCUAGUGGAGAAGUGUUUGAGCUUGGUUGAUCUUCAGCCCCAGAAAAUCUACGAACACUAUGUUGGAAUCUGGUAUAAGAAAGAUGUAGAAAAAAGAGUUGUAUGGGUUGAAAACAGAGACAAUCCUGUCAAUGACACUUCAGGAAUCCUCUCAACUGGUGCAAAUGGUAACCUCUUCCUCUAUGCCGAAAACCAAAGCGAUAUUCCCCUCUGGUCUGCCAUAUCCAAUGUUUCAAUCGCAUCAUUACCAUCCAAUUCCACACAUGAGCCUAAUUACAAAGCUCAGCUCUUAGAUACUGGAAAUAUUGUGGAGGGGAAAUCGAGCUCAAGACCUCAGGUGCAGGAUUGAAUGCUCUUAACUCAACUCAGUUACAAGCGCCAUUCUUUUCACUUAUGUAUCUAAAAUUGUCGGUUAAAAGCCUUGAACCAAGCAAGAAUACAAUCUAAUUUACUUUGCUUACUUUGCUAGUGGGAUCUUAUAUCUUCAUCAGGAUUCGAGAUUAAGAAUCGUCCAUAGAGAUCUAAAGGCCAUCAAUGUUCUGUUGGAUUCUGUCAUGAACCCUAAGAUUUUAGAUUUUGGUAUGGCUAGGAUAUUUGGAGCUGAACAAAUUGAAGCAAAUACAAACCUUGAGGUUGGGACAUAGUAAGUUUCCUUCAAAACUGAAAGUACACUUAUUUUUUACAAUUUUCAUCCCUAUGUCACAAGGCCACAAACGUGAGUACAACUUUUGUUGAAUAAUACAGAGAGAUGCUGUGAUAAUUAAUCACUUUUACUUUGUUGCUUCAGUGGUUAUAUGUCACCUGAGUACGCAAUAGAAAGACUUUUUUCAGUAAAGUCCGAUGUAUAUAGCUUCAGCAUUUUACUACUAGAAAUUGUUACCGACAGAAAGAACACCGGUUACUACCAAGAUAGUCUUUACUUAAAUUUAGAGCAUAACAUUAAGACAUUACCAACGUUCUCUCCGUCUGCUUUUAUAACUUGAUGAUUAAUUUGUAAAUGGUUUUUAGGUUUGGGACUUGUGAAAGGAAAGUAGAGCCUUGGAAAUCAUUGAUUCAUCUCUGGGAGAACCAUACCCUGUCAAUGAAGUUCUAAGGUGUGUUCACAUUGCCCUUUUGUGCGUGCAAGAGCAUGCAAAGGAUCAUCCACUCAUGUUAGUAGUGGUUUCCAUGUUGGCUAAUGAUGCAGCAAUUCCUUCACCAAAGCAACCUGGAUUUUUGUUGAAGAGAAGUUAUCAUACUAGUGGAGACCCAUCAGACAAUACUGAAGGAGCUUACUCUAUAAAUGACAUGACCCAUACAGAAGUAGAAGGUCGCUAAGGAGAGAACCAGACAUAUACUCGAAAAGAUUAUAUCAAUCAAUUAAGAGUAUGGUCUCUUAUGAGUGAGAUUAGAAGAAAGGAUAUGCCCUGAUUUCACUCAAUAAUUUGCCUUAUAACUAUUGAUCUAAGUUCUAUAUCUACAACACUCGUCAUCUGUCUUGAAAUGCCGCUCCUUUCAUUUUGCAUAUCAUUGAACUUUUGGUAUUUUGUAAUAAUGUACUAAUGUUUUUUCAUUAGACUCUUAUUUUGGGGUAUGUAAUACUUAAAAGACAAAUGUUGUUUUUAUAUUUUGAAGUAAUAUUUAUGUGACUAUAUGGUAUACAUAUACUAAUUUAGUAUUAUGUUUUCAAUUUUUUGGGGGUCAAAUUAUGUUUUUCAUUUUCAUUAUUUAUUGAUUUAAAAUAUAUUUUUUUAACUGGUGUUGGGGGACUUUUAGGUCGAGGCGGACUUGGGCUUUGAGAACGUCACCCUUGGUGCAAGUUCGUGACAAGUCUGGGAUAUCUCGAAGGAGGUAGCUUGUCCUAGGAAACACCCUGGUAACAUCAACGGCUCAAAGAUAGCACAAAAGAUCAAGAUAAUGACUUGCUCAAGCAAAGCAUGGUGUGGAAGCUAGAAGAUUAUCGGUUUACAUGAGAGAAAGAAGGUUUGCAUGGUUGCAUGGCAUUCUUAGUUGCAUGUUUCGGGCUUUCCUAGGGUGAUAGCAAGGCUUCUAGUGGCUGAGAUGUUUGAUGGAGGGCUGUGGAAAUCACUACAAUUGCAUGAAUGGUGAUACUUGAAGCUUAGAGUAUGCAUCUGGACUAGAUGGAACUCUUUGGGCUUCUUCCUGGGUGGAAACAUCUUACUAUGUUUUGUCUAUCUCUCUCUAUGUAUUUCUCUCUGCGUUCUAACCUCCUCAUUUCUAAUAGCUUCUCCCCCUCUUUAGAUAGGUGAAGAGCUUCUCUUUAGAUUUCAAGAAAUAUCUCUUUGUGGCUUGGUCUUCCCCUCAUUUCUCCCUAGCUAUCCCAGUAUUUCCCUUUUGGUGUAAACUAGAUGCACUGUUUGAGUUAUGCAGAUUGCUGUUUCUUGAGAUGCAGCUUUCCUAGGGCGGCCUUCCGCAAGCGCUAAAUCUAGUAGCGCGCUUCUGGGCUUUUGUGCAUUCGCUGUCUGUGCAGGCUGGGAAUGGAAAGUCAGCAUUAAAUGCCUGACUUGCUAAGCUUGACAUGCAUUUAAUGUAAGAAUCUAGUUUAAUUCUAAUUAAGGGGAUUGGCUUACUAGGGAAAUGGAUAAACUAGGCUAGCUCUCAUUCCCAAUGAUGCCUGCGUGAAAUACAAAGGGUAUAGGCUUGGAUCUUUAGGCUCCUAAGCAGCCCAAAGUCUUCCAUGACCCUAAUUCCACAUAGGCCCGAUAACCUUAUGUAAUCAUCCACACCACAAUCCACUUAGCAAGUCUCGAAUAUGUGACUUGGGCUUAGCGUGAAUAUUGACUAAGGAGGCAUGGCGUGAUGAAUAAUACGUGAGCAUGGUGUGAGUAUUCCGCUUAAUUCUUGUGGCAUGGCAUGCUUGUAAAUAUAUUCCUUGUUGGUCCCGUGCCUUGGCAUGUGCUUGGGCUUGAAUGUAGGCUUUGCAUGAUAAUUGGGCUUUGAGACUUGGUAGGAUCGAUGCGUGACAUUUUUAGGCCCCAACAACGAGUAAAUUGUAACAGGUCAGGUCAUAUUACCUAAUAAUAUUAACGGGUUGAUUUCGAAUCAGGUCAUAUUACCCGUUUACUUUAACGGAUAUUGCCUGACACGACCCGUUAAGAUAUUGGGUAUGUCACGAAAACGACAUGAACACGAAAAACACAACAUGAAUACCAGGUCUAAUGCUCGACACACAUUAGACCUUUGGAUGUUAUGAUAAUUUAGUGUCAGAAAUAAUAAUUUAGAGGUAGAAUAUUGUUGACUAUCACAUGUGCUAGUAUAUGCUUCAAAUAAUUUUAGAGGUACAAUAUUGUUAAAAAUUAUAAUGCUCUUAUUUGAACGGUGAUUUAUACAAGGGGAAACUUGAUAUAAGCAAUUUUUUUUAGCCGAUAGUAGGAAUAGUCCAAUUUAUUUAAAUAAGUCCAAUUCUUUAAAUUUAAUUAUUUAAUUAUCAAUAAUUAUCUAUUAAAUGAUAAGAUUUAUUAUUACUUUAGUCUAAAGAAAGGUUUGGAAUUGACACUGUAGAAAUGAAUAGUGUUUCAAUUCGAAUUUCAGAUUAAUUACUACCAUGCCAUUGAUCUUUCUGUUGGUUUUGGGUCAGCAGCCCAGCCUUCAGCCAGGCCCAAAUGUGUUGGUUUUAGCUGGGAAGCAAGGCCCUCAAUGAGGCCUAAAUUAUUUAACUACAUUUUUGCCCAUCUAGUGUAACAUCCCACAUCGCCCAGGGGAGUAAAUCAUGUAAGCCUUAUAUGUAUAUUCUCAUCUCUACCUAGCACGAGGCUUUUUGGGAACUCAAUGGCUUUGGGUUCCGUAGGAACUCCGAAGUUAAGCGAGUAGCUCGUGAGAGCAAUCCCAUGAUGGGUGACCCACUGGGAAGUUCUCGUGUGAGUUCCCAGAAAUAAAAUCGUGAAGGCAUGGUCGGAGCCCAAAACGGACAAUAUCGUGCUACAGUGGAGUUGAGCCGGGGAUGUGGUGAGGGCCCGGGUCGGGAUGUGACAUCUAGGAUUACAAUCUGAUAGUAGGGAUGGUUUAUUACGAAGGGCAAUUUUGUCCUCUCUGUUUUGGGCGAGAUAGGGGGUCACUGGUUAGGUAUCAUUUGCUGUCGUUCAAUUAGGGUUUCGGGAAGGGUCUGCGAGAGAGAGAUAGAUAGAGAGAGAGAUGGCGAUGGAAGAAGAGAGAGGGGGAGGGGUAGGGGUCUCGACACUGUUGCUGCAGAUGAGAGGGUCGGUAUGGUCAAAGAAAACCAUAUGGGUCGUCAGGAUUUCAGGGAGAUAGGGAAGGGGUCAUCAACAAACCCUACCGAGGGUAAGGUGUGCCGGAUCUUGCGUUGCAUGCCUCAAAUCCAAAGGUUAGUUCCUUUUUAAAAUUGUUUUCUUUAAUGGUGCCUUAGAUUUUCUAAUUGUUUAGUAUGUUAGGUCCAGUUUUAGGGGAUUUGUGAUUUUAUAGAGAGAGAUGGAUAGGGAGAUAGAGAUUGACAGAGGGAAGAAAAAGCAUGGUUGUGUGCAUUUUUUUGGGUUAAUUAAUGGGUUAGCGCACAGGGUCAGUGAGGAGAGUGACAAAGGGGUGUAUAGGAGGGUAUGGGUUUUCACUUUUUUGCUCUGAUUCAACAGGUUAUGCACUGUUUGAAAAUCAUUGUUUAUUGUUUUGUUUUCCGUUUGCUUUGUUAAAACCAUAUUUCAAUUUUUUUGGUUUCAUUGUGCUCAUUUAUGUGCUUCUUAAUAACUUCCUGGUGUUUGCUUCUCAUCCCUUUGUUGGUAGAUUUUUCCCCAUUUCUUGGUUCCUUAUGUAUUCCUUGGUACAAAUCUGUCUAAUUUUUGGCUAUGUGAUGAUCCUUGCAGGUGAGCUACAUUAAUGUUGUUUUGAAACACAGAGCUUCAUCCCCUCGAAUAUGCAAUUCAUAGUAGCAGCCUCACCCUUUCACUAUUAUCUGCUUAAAGCAAAACAUUUUUAUUAUGGCCUUGGUUUCUUGACAUUUUUAGGUAUAUAAUUUGCUAUACUUUUGUUUUGGUUACUUCAGUUAGAUGUAAUGUCACCUAACAUAGUAUAAUAGACAAAAUCACCAUCUCUGUUCUCUUCAAGAUAAUUUAUUUCGUAAUCCAACUUUGUUUGCAAGCUUUGUUUGCAAUAGUAUGUAUAAGCCAGAUCUCUUAUUUCCCUGCAAAUGAAUAGAAUUAAUGCAAUCCUCGGUCAAAUCAUUUAUCACAUUCAGACAAGUUCCCAAUUAUUUUUGCAUAUGAAGAAGACCAUCUUCACCAACACCGGAUUUAUCUGCAAACUUAAUUUUGAUCACCCCGAACUUAUUAAUCAAGAAGCCACUGUUUUAAUAAAAUUUGGCAUAAUCUUUAACAUGAAUAUAGAAGGAAAGAAUGGAUGUAUAUGUGUAGAAAUUAUGUUGGAAGGUUGGUUAAACUUAGGCUUAUUCUCAAGUAUAGUAUAAAUUCUUGGGUUAUUUGGAUUUCAGUAUUUAUCAAACUUUGCCUUGCUUAUGUAUUGAUCUCAUAACUGUCGCUUUCAUACAACAACCCAAAUAUGGAAUCUGCCAUCUGGAUUCUAUAUGGAAGUUGUGAAGCUUUUUUCCCUCAAAAUUUUGGUCUUUUUGUUUUUGUAUGUUGGUUUAAAACAAGGGUUAUUCUACAAAAUGGUCCCUGAGAUUUGCAUGAUCAAUAGAAAUGGUCCUUGAGAUUGAAAAUCAAUAUAAAUAAUCCCUGAGAUUGUCCACCAUCCAUGAUUUUGGUCAUUCCGUUAAAAACUCUUUGGGCAAUUUUCAAAGCUUCGUAACUUAAUUGAUUCUUAACCAAAUUUGACCCAUAAUAUAUAAAAAUGAAUAUAAGAAAGUGUAGAACAAGAUUAUACCUAUUUGGAAGCCCAAUGAUUUCCAGAGAUGGCUUGAAAAUAGCCUGAAAGGUGACUGGUCCGUGGGAAAACUGGAAAACUCGCCAGAAACUAAGUAAACUUUAAGCGUUCAUAACUUCUUCAAUACUCAACGAAAUCAAGUGAUUCAAAAAUGAAAAUCAUACUUCUCAAAGAUACGAAGAGAAUGGUAUCUUUCUUUACUACUAACUUGCCAUGAUUUAGCCGGAAAACUGCUCGAAAGUGGCUAACUCAAAAAUGGUUAGCCACAUUUGAGCCGUUGUUCAACCAAAACACAGCGAUUUAGCCUUCAAAAAAAGUACCAUUCUCUUCGUCUCAUCAAGAAGUAUUAUUUUCAUUUUUGAAUCACUCGAUUUGGUUGAGUAUUGAAUAAGUUAUGAAUUUUUAAAGUUUACCCAGUUUCCGGCGAGUUUUCCAGUUUUCCCAUGGACCAGUCACCUUUUAGGCUAUUUUUCGGCCAUCUCCGGCAACCAUUGGGCUUCUAAAUAGAUAUAAUCUUAUUCUCCACUUUCCUAUCUUCAUUUUGAUAUAUUAUGGGUCGAAUUUAAGAAACAAUUGAGUUACAAAGCUUUGAAAGUUGCCCAAAAUCGUUUUUAACUAAAGGACAAAAUCAUGGAUGUUGGACAAUCUCAGGGACCAUUUUGUAUAAUAACCCUUAAAACAAAUAAAAAGUUUUUGUAUUGGUAUUUUGCUUUUGUUCCUAAACAAUGGCAAUUUUUUACUUCUGAAAUGAUUGUCACCUUAUUAUUUGUUUAUGUGCCAGUGCCAAGUUCUGAUGGUGCUCAUUGCUCUAGGAAAAUUGGGAGGGGAAAUUUUCAUAUGCUUUGUGGAAUCUUUGAUGCAAUUAGCAUUUUAAAUUUGACCCCUCCCAUUAGUUUUUUUUUUUUCUGAUAAAUUCUGUUGCGAUCUAUGUGUGUUGCUGAUGAAAGAAGAUAAAGGUUUAGCCAUGAUUCUUAAUGGUCCCUGAAACUUGUUGAUGCACAAAAUCAGUGGGGAAUUUGGUAUAACAGAAAAUGUUAAGUUUGUGACCUUCGCUAGAUUGCUCCGGUCACUAGUGUGGAUAAGUAUGUAAAUGGACAGAGACAAGGAAGCAAACACAAGAUGUACGUGGUUCACCCAGAUUGGCUACGUCCACGGAGUAGAGAAGUUCUCAUUAAUUGUGAAGGGUUUACACAAGUACAUAGGUUCAAGCUCUCAUUUAGUGAGUACAAGUGAAUGAUUUAGUACAAAUGACAUUAGGAAAUAUUGUGGGAGAAUGAUCUCCUUUUAUAAAAGAGAGUUUCUAGUUUUGUUUUGACGUUAACACGUGUCGUGUUGUGAUUAGCUUCUGAUGUUGACACGUGUCGUGCUAUGAUUGGCUUCUGAUGUCGACAUGUGGUGCACUGUGAUUGGCCUUUUGGUUGGAGGGAAACUCUUUUGGGUCCUUGACGGUAUAACGUUGAUUAGUGCUUAGUAGUUUUGGGAUUGGUCAAGUAUGGUAUAAACAAAACUCAUGGGUACUUUCACUUACUAUGCAUACGGUGAUAAUUGUGGCUGAGGCUGUUAUGAUUCAUAACUAGGCAAUUUCCUCUCACAUUUCCUUUGGUUGUGUAAUGAUUUUCUUUUGUCCUAACUUCACUUGCCAUCAUAUGUUUAGGCUUGGGUUACCCUUGGUAGAGCAAAGUUAAACUUUGGGGAGGCUGAUAGUGCCAUUCAAAGCUUUGACAGAGCAUUAGCCAUCAAGGUACUGUUUCACCUUUCAAGAAAUUAUAAUUUGUACUUCUCAAACUUCUUACACUUUUUUAUGCCUCUUUGAGCCACUGACCUUAGGUGGAGUCUGAUACUGCAAUAUUAUGUACUAAUCUAAUAAACCCUGCAGCUUAUUCGUCUUCUUCAUGGGUAAAAUAACAUGACAGAAAGAAGCAGUAACCAGUUCACCCAUUCCCUUGAUGAUCGUUAUAAUCUUUGUUUUCUUAGUCUCCUCUAUGCCCUCCUCAUCAAGAAAGUUCUUAAACCUGUUCCCAUAUGUGUAUUGUUAAGUUGCUAAUUUAUAGAUUAACCUACUGUGAUUCUGUGCUUGAAGUCAGGCAUAUGGUUAGACUUCCAAAUUGAUGCCUUAGUAGCUUCAAUGCUUGCCUUAAAAUUACUAUAGGCAUAACUGUUACAGUUUGUUUGUACCAUACUUGACCAAUCCCGAAACUACCGAGCACCGGCCAACGCUAUACUGUCAAGGACCCAGAAGAGUUCCCCUCCGACCAGGAGGCCAAUCACUACUCGACACGUGUCAAGAUUAGAAGCCAAUCAGAGCGCAGCACGUGUCGACAUCAAGAACCAAUCAUAACAUGACACAUGUCAAUGUGACAAAGCUACAAGUUUUUCUAUAAAUAGGGGUCAUUCCCCCACAAUAUCGCCUAAUGCCAUUUUGUGUUAAAUCAUUCACAAGAACUCACUAAAUUGAGAGCUUGAUCCUUUGUACUUGUGUAAGCCCUUCACUACUAAUAAGAACUCCUCUACUCCGUGGACGUAGCCAAUCUGGGUGAACCACGUACAUCCUGUGUUUGCUUCUCUGUCUCUAUUCAUUUACGUACUUAUCCUCACUAGUGACGGAAGCAACCAAGCGAAGGUCACAAAACCUGACACUUUCUGUUGUACCAAAGUCUUCGCUGAUUUUGUGCAUCAACAUUUGGCGCCGUCUGUGGGAAACGACACUUAUUCCUACUCUCUUCAGCUGUGUCAAGCUGGUUUCUAUCAUUCGUACACUUUCUUUUGAUCUGGCAUCCCUCUCCAGCAUGGGAAGCGAAGGAAGCCACAGCACACAGAAUGACACCCCCCUUGCACAUAGUGCGAAACAACGAAAGAAGGAAGGAAAACGAGUUAUUCUUCAAGCUAAAGUCGAUGAGUUGGAAGCUUAGAACAACAAGAUAGCAAUGAGGAAUGAGGUCCUCCAGGAGCAAUAUGAGAAGCUCUUCGAGACACUUCACGAAGCUAGGCAAGCUCAGACACGCGAGCUUGUUGCCCCCGUGGAAGUCAACCAUCAACUGGGUGCCCUCCAACAUGGAGGGUCACAUGCAUUCGACAUAGAUAUCCCUGAUAGGGAACAAAUUACCCCUCGAUUUGAUAAUCAACAUGAGGCUUCUCUUAACCCAGUUGCUUCGACCCGAACCAUGAGAAGCGGAGGGAGACACCUCUUUGCUGAAGGGGCAGAAGGAUCGAAAGCUGUCUUUCGCGAUUGUCGGGAUUUCCUGAAGCAACGUCGAGAGAAUUCCAUCCAUAUAAGCUCAAAGAUCAAUGACCCAAGGAUUUCUGAGAGACUCGGUCCCCUGCCACGGCCCGAGCCGGCCACCAACUUGGGGAAGGGGCAACAAGUCCUAGAGAGACAUGAGGGUACAGGGGACUCAGAGGUGUUCCGACAGACAUACCCUGGAAGCCAGUACAGCGAGUCCAGGGAAAAAAUCACAUGCCCUUGAUCAAACCUUCCUAAUUCCAAGAGGAGAUGGAGAUUUACGAAAGAAAGCUCCAGUGGCACAUAACUCCGCUCAGGACCCCCCUUGUCCUACAACUUCUUGAGGAAGUAAACAAGUUGAAGGCUGAACGUCAGGCUAAAAUACCUGACUGGAACCAACCCAGGCCUGGCCCUCUUACAAGGAGGAUCCUCAACACCCCCCUUCAAGCAAAGACAAAGCAGAAGCUUGGCUUGCAACUUUAUACUGGGAAAGAGGACCCGAUUGAGCACCUUAACCUCUUUGAGUCCACCAUGGCAUACCGGAUGCACACCGACGAAGAGCGAUGUCUUCUCUUCCCCUCCACCCUCUCUGGCGGAGCUCUAAAUUGGUAUUGUCGUCUUACACCUGAGACGGUAGACUCAUUUGAGGAAUUGAGGAAACUAUUUGUUUCCCAACACAUUUUCCAAACCGAUCGCUUGCACUCUGCAGAUGACCUGUACACUAUCCGCCAGAAGCCAGACGAGUCAUUACGUAUGUAUGCUGGCCGCUUCAGCCAUGAAUACUCCCGGUGUGCCGAGGCAGACGACAAGACUGCCCUCAAAGCCUUCACGGCAGGCCUACGUGAUUGUUUCUUUAAAUACAUGAUCAAUGUCAAUACUUGGAAGACUUACUCUGAGGUGAUGGCGCAGGCUUAUAACCAUGCCUCCGCCGAGGCAAAGACAUAUCAGGAGAAACCCCCUACAACCAUCCUUUAUCAACAAGUGGGAGGUGGAAGCCAGACUCACCUAAAUGAGAAGACCUCGACUUUCCAAACAGCAGUGGCACCUCCCCAUGCCGUGCAUAAUGCUUCACCGAAUCAACAGACAUAUCAAUUUCAAGGCAAGAGGAAGGAUUUCCAUCCUCACCACUCUCCUUCCAGUAAAAAGAGUAAGGGACACUAUCCCGAUAACCAAGGGUAUCGCCACAAUAACGCUCGCCCCCAGGCAGUCAAUGCAGUGGGUCAAACCCGCGUCAAGAUACCCCCUACCCCAAGGUAUGAGACAUACACGCCCUUGAAUGCCACAUGCGCGGCCAUUUACCCCAGCAUAGCUCACCUGAUACCAAAGCCAAAGCCGAGGCACCCAGAUUACACGCCCCCGAAUAACGCGGGCAUGUUUUGUUGCUACCAUGAGCAUAACGGCCAUGAUAGCGAGAAAUGUAUCAUCCUCCGUGAUCGUAUUGAAGCUUUGGCACGAGAAGGAAAAAUUGAUCAAUUCCUCCUUCACCCUCAAAGGGAUAACCGUAACCAACGCCAGGUGAAUGUCAUAUAUAUUCCAUAAGCGGCGGCACACCCCAUAUCUGAAUCUUCCAAUAGGGCCAUGAAAAACAGUGAACGAAUUCUGAGGCCUGGUCACCAAGUGUUUCACGUGGAAGACAUCAGGGGAGGGAAGUAUCAAAAGCCUAACUGGGAUCCGAUAUGUUUCUACCCUGAGGAAGAAAGAGGCAUCAUCUACCCUCAUAACGACCCAUUGAUCGUGGAGGCUCACAUAGCCAACUUUGAUGUUCGACGAAUCCUCGUAGACACAGGGGCUUCGGUCAAUAUCAUGUUUGCCGAAGCUUUCAGGGCACUCAGUGUAGCUGAACACUUGCUCGAUCGCUCGAUUUCUCCUCUGAUAAGCUUCUCCGGUGAUAUCGUGCAACCCUUAGGGAGCAUACAUUUACCCUUUACUAUUGGUACAGGCCCUUACACGGCUACCAUUACCACUAACUUCCUAGUGGUUGACUGCCCAACGGCAUACAAUGUCAUCUUUGGGCGCACAGGCAUCAAUGAUCUCAAGGCUAUAUGGUAUCCACGCAUAUGCUGUUGAUGAAAUUUCCAACCCCCAUGGCAACGACUACAUCAGAGGAGAUCAGCUUACUGCACGAUCAUGUUACAACACUUCAGUUAAGCAACAACACUUGCCCGGACCCAAGGAAACCCUGUCUGUACAUGACCAAGUCACAAAGACCAGCCUAGAUGAAGCGAACUUGGAUCUUCCUGAUAGCAACAAUCAACCCGAUGAUCCUCGAGAUGACUCUUUCACCCAGCAAGCCCAACCUGCUGAAGAGUUGGAGAAGGUACCUAUCUCAAGAGAUUAUCCAGAUCGCAUGGUGAAGAUUGGCACCACAUUGUCACCACCCCUUCGGUUAGCAUUGAUAUCUUUUUUGAAAGAGAACACUGAAGUCUUCGCCUGGUCAUACGAGGACAUGCCAGGCAUCUCUCCCGAUGUCAUCUGUCAUCGUUUGAGUAUUGACCCCAAGAUCAAGCCGGUGAGACAGAAGCGAAGAUCUUAUGACGCUGAACGAUACGAGGCAAUGAAAGCAGAAGUUGAAAAACUCAAAGGCAUAGGCUUUGUCCGCGAAGUCAAUUACCCGACAUGGGUAGCAAAUGUGGUCCUUGUUAGGAAAAAUCCGACCAAAGAAAGUCUUUCGCUUCAAAAGGUCUUGUGGAGGAUGUGUGUUGACUACACCGACCUAAAACAAAGGGUGUCCGAAAGAUAGUUUCCCUCUUCCUCUUAUUGACAGGCUUAUAGACUCUACGGCAGGGUGUGAGCUCUUGAGCUUUAUGGACGCUUAUUCAGGAUACAACCAAAUCCUCAUGAACCCCUCAGACCAAGAACACACGGCCUUCACUACUGACAGGGGACUAUAUUGCUAUAAAGUCAUGCCUUUCGGCCUAAAGAAUGCAGGAGCAACUUAUCAGAGACUGGUCAAUUCAAUGUUCGCCGAACAAAUUGGGAAGAACAUGGAAGUUUACGUUGAUGAUAUGCUAGUCAAAAGCAAACAUGCUGACCAACACAUCACCAACCUAUCUGAAACUUUCACCAUUCUAAAGAGGUAUCGAAUGAGGUUGAACCCCAACAAAUGUGCCUUCGGCGUGGGCUCUGGCAAAUUCUUAGGCUUCAUGAUUAGCCAACGAGGCAUUGAAGCUAACCCUGAAAAGAUCAAAGCAAUCCUCGACAUGAAAGAGCCAAUAACUUCAAAAGACAUCCAAAGCCUUACUGGCAAGGUGGACGCCUUAACCAGAUUCAUCUCUAAGGCCACAGACAGAUGUGCUCCUUUCUUCAAAGCACUCAAGGGAAAUAAGAAGUACAUUACAUGGACGGAGGAAUGUGCCAAGGCAUUCAGGAACCUCAAAGAGUACAUGAGUAAAGCCCAUCUGCUCUCCAAACCAGAAGUUGGUGACACUCUCAUCAUCUAUCUAUCGGUUUCGGCUUCAGCAGUCAGUUCUGUUCUUAUUCGAAUGGACAGUGGUGUCGAACGGCCCGUCUACUACGCUAGCAAGGCCCUACAAGAUGCGGAGACACGAUACUCCAACAUUGAGAAAUUAGCUCUAGCAUUGGUCAUGUCUGCUCGGAAACUUCGCCCUUAUUUCCAAGCACACGCCAUCAUCGUGCUUACCAAUCACCCUCUUCGACAGAUACUCCAGAGUCCUACACGUCUGGACGAAUGAUCAAAUGGGCGAUAGCAUUGGGUGAGUUUGACAUCUCCUACCAACCAAAACCAGCCGAAAAAGGCCAAGCAGUAGCAGAUUUCAUCGCCGACUUCACAUAUCCUGUUGACAUUGCUUCUACACCUAAAGCAGUAGCUUCAUUACCAUCGAAAGCUCAGAAGAUAGAACCAACAACCCCAGCAUGGAGUCUGUAUGUUGAUGGCUCAUCCAACCAACAAGGCUGUGGAGCGGGACUAGUCUUGACUACGCCCGACAAAGUAGCAAUGGAGUAUGCUCUUCGUUUCAAAUUCAAGGCAUCAAACAAUGAGGCCGAGUAUGAAGCCCUUCUAGCAGGAUUACGUUUGGCCAAACACCUCGGGGUUAAACAAAUUGAUAUUUUCAGUGACUCCCAAUUAGUGGUCAACCAGGUUACCAACAACUUUGAUGCUAAGGACAGCUCCAUGGCAGCAUAUCUUGCGCAAACACAACUUUUGCUCAAACACUUCCACUACCAGAUCACCCAAGUUCCUCGAGCGGCAAACAGUCAUGCAGACGCCCUGGCUCGCCUCGCCUCAGCUGUGGAAGACAAGAUUGGAAGAAAAAUUNCUGGAAGUACUUUUUCUCCAUCCAGGGGUGGUAUCUUUAACCGAUGAAGAUGCACAAGGUAAUGUAUCAAUUUCACUUGAAGCUUAGUUGUAGUUUUGGGCUUGGUCAAGUGCGAUACAAACCCUAUAGUAGGAGUCCCCUAAGUCGCCGAGCUAGGAGAUUUUCGGAAUGAGGUAACAGACAAGGUAAGCAAUCAGACUUCCAAGCAAGCAACCUAGAUCGGAGGUUCGACUUCAGCUUCCGGUUGAUUGUUCUCCUUCUUCUUGUGUUGUAAACAGCAACAAAGAUAAGGAGAAGCAAAUGGAGAAUAAAUGAUAUGAGAUACUUUUGCUUUUGAAGAAGUAACUUUCCACCAGUUUAUUCUUGAACUGGGCUGGAGGGUUUUCUGGUUUCCUCUAGAGUAUAAGGCUGACUCAAGAAUUUAAGGGUCAAAACAAGUCCAUCAAAUCUGGAGUACGUUCGACCCUGAUGAUAUGGGAUACUUUUGUUGUUGACAAAGUAGUGGAUGUAUCGACACGUGUUCUGUUACGCUUGUCUCCACAUGCUUCCUUGUAUCCUUCUCACUUGCCCUAUCUGUUCCUCAGGCAGAUAUGGUAUCUUCUUUGGAAGCAUAAGAUGUUGAAGAUGAGUACUCAAGAGCAAUGCCAGGUAAGUAAUCAGGCAAGGGGUUACAGGCAAUCAGUUUCUAACUGGAAGCUUGAUUCCAAGUGCUGACUGAUUGCUCUCUUUCUCCUUGUCUUACAGGUAAGAACAAGGCCAAAGGAAAAGACAGGGAAAAAGCAUGAUAUGGGAUACUCUUGCUUUUAACCGUGAUGAUAUGAGAUACUCUUGCUCUGGUGUGGCUUGUUUGCAGAGGUAUUAUGGGGAGGAAAAGAAGCUGAGUAUUUCGAGAAACUCUGCUGAGAGUGCCCUCUCGGAUGUGAGGAAAAGUUGAGCAUUUUUUUUUAUUUGCAGGUCUGCCUGGCUAUGGAGGAUGAAGGUCGACAUAUAUAAGAGUCUCCUUAAUAACAAGUAGUAGUGCUAUUCCUUUACCCUUCUUGGUCAUAGCAAUGUAGUGGGAGCUGCAAGCUUCACGUGUUUUAACUUUGUCAGAGCACUUUGAAAAACUGGUAUGUGGUAUCUGAAAAGCUGAUGUUGCGUGUGAAGAUUGCAGACAAGCUUUAUCCAAGGAAAUCUGGCUCUCGAAGUUCGAAAAGCAGUGCCUCUUCGAUUUUUGAACAAGCAAUCCUGUCAGGGAUCUUACUCUCGAGAUUCAGAUAACGGUGCCUCUUCAAUUUUUGAGAAAGCAAUCUUGUUGGGAGUCUGACUCUUGAGAUUCGGAGAACAGUCGAUUUUUUAGAAAGUAAUCUUAUUGGGAGUCUGGCUCUUGAGAUUCGGAGGGUGGUGCCUCUUCGAUGUUUGAGCACGUAAUCCUAUUGGGAGUCUGGCUCUCGAGAUUUGGAGAAUGGUGCAUCUUCGAUUUUUGAGAAAGCAAUCUUGUUGGAAGUCUGACUCUCGAGAUUCGGAGGGCGGUGCCUCUUCAAUUUUUGAGCAAGCAAUCUUAUUGGGAGUGUUUUCUCGAAUGUGAGUAAAGGUUUGACAUUUUUGCCAGUCUGCCUUGCCACGGAGCAUGAAGGUUGACACACAUUGAGACUUUCUAGUUAUCAAGCAGUGGUGUUGUUCCUUUACCUUUGUGGGUAAUAGUAGGGUAGCUGGACCUUCAAAAUUUAUAUGUCUAAACUUUGUCAGAGAUUUUUGGCAAAGUUAUCUGUGGUACCCGAGGAGAUGAUGUUGCAUGUGGAAAGUGGUCUCUAUUCGGAAUCCGGAGAGUGGUGCCUCUUCGAUUUUUGAACCAACGGCCCUGUUGCCUUUUCUUUUAUAAGGGCACCAAUUUGUGCUAGAAGUACAUUUAGAGAGUUAUUGCUUGUAGGAAUUUUCCCCUUACUUCAGAGAUUUAUUGCACCUCAUUUCUCAUUCAUCAUUUCUGAGAAUGUCUGGCUCAUCCGACCAUUGUUUUGACUUGAACUUUGGUGAAGAGGCAGCCAUGCCUUCUUAAGACAACAUAUGACGCCCAUCUUUCUUAUCCCCUACUGGUCCUCUUACCGUUGGGGACUCUAUGAUGAAGAAUGAUAUGACCGCUGCGGUGGUGGCCAGGAACCUUCUCACUCCCAAAGAUAACAGACUACUUUCCAAACGGUCUGAUGAGUUAGCUAUUAAGGAUUAUCUGGCUCAAAGUGUUCAGUGUGCAGGUUCUGUGUCUAAUAUGGCCCAACGCCUAUUUGCUCGAACCCGCCAAGUUGAAUCAUUGGCAGCUGAAGUGAUAAGUUUCAAACAGGAGAUCAAAGGGCUCAAGCAUGAGAAUAAACAGUUACACAUGCUCGCACAUGACUAUGCUACAAACAUGAAGAGGAAGCUCGACCAGCUGCAGGAAUCUAAUGGUCAAAUUUUACUUAAUCAUCAGAGAUUUGUGGGUUUGUUCCAAAGGCAUUUAUUGCCUUCGUCUUCUGGGGCUGUACCGCGUAAUGAAGCUCCAAACGAUCAACAUUUGGUGCCUCAUCUUUCUGGGGUUCUGCCUAGUACUAAGGCUCCGAAUAACCACCCUCUGGUGCCUCCUAAUUCUGGGGCUCUCCCGACUACUGAGACUUCUCCUGAGCAACCUUUGUGAAGGCUCCCUCUUGUUUGUUUAUUUUGAUUCAUGUAUAUGUACAUAUUUGUAACUUAUCGGAGAUAUCAAUAAACAAGCUUUGCUUCAUUUCAACGUAUUAUGUUAAAUACACCAAGGCCUUCUUCAUUAAGUUCUUUGAAUUUUUCCUUUUGUUGAAUCUUGUAUGUUGAAGCUUUAUGAGUGAAGCCUGUAUGUUGAGGUAGUGCUCCCUUAAUUUCCCGAGUGAGGAAAACUGCUUGGUUGGAGACUUGAAAAAAUCCAAGUCACUGAGUGGUCAUGAGACUUCUGAGUAUCAAGGUACAGUAGCAUAUGGUAGGAGUCCCCCAAGUCUCCGGUCAAGAGAGUUGACGAAUAAGGUGUCUUGCUAGUAGCCAAGUUUCCAAAGUAACAAAAUUUCACCAUUUUCCUUUCUAAGUGGCAACCCAAAACUCCGAAUAUAUAUUUAUUUUUUUUUUUCAAAUAAGAGGAGCCUAGGCAAUUUAUUUAUUUAUUUAUUUUUUCAAAUUUUCAAAUUUUUGAAUUUUUGAAUUUCCGAAUAUAUAUAUAUAUAUAUAUAUAUAUAUAUAUAUAUAAAGCUUUGUAGGUGAAGUUUUGAGGUUGAAACUUUGUUGGGUACCAUGAAUUGAUUUUGCUUCACACUAUCUUGUCAAGAUAAUGUGAAGCUUUUGAGAAUUUGUAGUUGUCCUCCAUUGAUGAAGCAAUUUGUAGUUGUCCUCCAUUGAUGAAGCUUUUGUUGGUGAAGCUUUUGUGGUGGGGGAAGCUUUUGUGGGAGAAGCUUUUGUGGUGUGAGACUUUUGUGAGUGAAGCUUUUGUUGGUGAAGCUUUUAUGGGUGAAUCUUUUGUAGGUGAAGCUUUUGUGGUGGGUGAAGCUUUUGUGGGUGAAGCUUUUGUGGUGGGUGAAGCUUUUGUGGGUGAAGCUUUUGUUGGUGAAGCUUUUAUGGGUGAAGCUUUUGUAGGUGAAGCUAUUGUGGGUGAAGCUUUUGUAGGUGAAGUUUUUGUGGUGGGCGAAGCUUUUGUGGUGGGUGAAGCUUUUAUGGGUGAAGCUUUUGUAGGUGAAUGAUGAUGCACAAAAUCAGUGAGGACUUUGGUACAACAGAAAGUGUUAAGUUUGUGACAUUCGCUAGAUUGCUCCGGUUACUAGUGUGGAUAAGUAUGUAAAUGGAUAUGGACAGGGAAGCAAACACAAGAUAUACGUGGUUCACCCAGAUUGGCUACGUCCACGGAGUAGAGGAGUUCUCAUUAAUUGUGAAGGGUUUACACAAGUACAUAGGUUCAGGCUCUCAUUUUGUGAGUACUAGUGAAUGGUUUAGUACAAAUGACAUUAGGAAAUAUUGUGAGAGAAUGAUCUCUAUUUAUAGAAGAGAGUUUCUAGUUUCAUUCUGACAUUGACAAGUGUCGUGUUGUGAUUAGCUUCAGAUGUUGACACGUGUCGCGCUAUGAUUGGCUUCUGAUGUCGACACGCGUCGAGCUGUGAUUGGCCUCCUGGUUGGAGGGAAACUCUUCUGAGUCCUUGACUGUAUAACGUUGACCGGUGCUCAGUAGUUUCGGGGAUUGGUCAAGUAUGGUACAAACAUACUUUAAUCUUCUCCCGGGUCCCCAAUUACAACAAAAAUCAGAAUUGUAUAAAUAUUAAGAACACAAUGAAACUGAAAAAAUUAUAUGGUUCUGGAAGGUAUACAAAAAGUUUCCCCUUCUUUCGUCUUAAAUUUGUUUUGCAGCUUUAUUUCGGCUCAAGUUUCAUUUUCUUUCGUCUAGGAAAUUUUUAUAGCCUGAAAUUUCAAUGGAACUGAAAUAGGGAGAGGAGGACAACCCAAAUUUCUGAAUGAUCCCACUGCUUCUGGUGUACGAAGAUAUGAAGAUUUGCCAAUUGAUGAACACAGAGGAGAAACAGAUUUACCUUCUUUCGAUUUAACCACCUUGGUAGCAGCCACAGAAAACUUCUCUUAUGCUAACAUGCUUGGCCAUGGCGGCUUCGGCAUGGUAUAUAAGGUACUUCCCCUAGAACAUUUUGAGAUCUGUGCAUUAUGUGGCUUCGGCAUCUCUGUUGUCAUUAAGAUUUUCGAGUCUGCACCAUGAUUUCAGGGAUGUCUAGCUGAUGGACAAGAAAUAGCUGUUAAAAGAUUAUCGAGAAAUUCAGGACAAGGCAUAGACGAAUUCAAGAACGAAGUAAUGCUUAUUGCAAAGCUUCAGCAUAGAAAUCUUGUGAGGCUUUUGGGUUGCUGCAUACAUAAAGAAGAGAUGAUGCUAAUCUAUGAAUACAUGCCAAAUCGUAGCUUCGACUUAUGCAUUUUUGGUAUGCCAUCUUUACACACUGCUAUUAAAUACUUUAAGUUUUCUGACAUAAACCCUGAAAUUAAGAAAUCAUAAACUUGUAGAUAAUAGAAGCUUUUAUGUGUGGUGUUCAGAUAAAAACGGAAAUUCGUCGUUAGAUUGGAGAAAAAGGUUUCAAAUUAUCAUUGGGAUUGCUCGAGGCGUCCUAUAUCUUCAUCAAGAUUCGAGACUAAAAAUAAUCCACAGGGAUUUGAAAGCGGGCAAUGUUUUACUCGAUGGUUCAAUGAACCCAAAAAUAUCAAAUUUUGGCAUAGCAAGAAUGUUCGGGGAUGACCAAAUUGAAGCAAACACGAACAAAGUUGUUGGCACCUAGUAAUUGUCUCAUCUCCCUUGAAAAAAAAAAUUCAAGUAGAACCAAUAUUUUUUUUUACUCAUAUUGUGUAAUUGCAGCGGUUACAUGUCACCGGAGUAUGCUAUGGAUGGGCUAUAUUCCACAAAAUCCGAUGUGUUUAGCUUCAGAGUCUUGACACUAGAGAUCAUUAGUGGAAGGAAGAAUACCUUCCAAUUUGAAAACUCAUCUCUAAAUCUAGUUGGACUAGUAAGUAAACAGAUAAUUUUUCAACCGAUGAAUCUAACUUUCGAGUAGUCCAAUGAUCUAAACUUUGUGCUCAAAAUUGUUUCAGAUAUGGGGCUUGUGGACAAAAGGAAAAGUCUUGGACAUAAUUGAUUCAUCAUUGAACCAGUCGUAUUCGACUCCUGAAGUUAUGAGAUGCAUUCAGAUUGGGCUCUUGUGCGUUCAAGAAUACCCAACAGACCGGCCAACCAUGCUAGAUGUUGUGUUCAUGUUGGGGAAUGAAACUACUCUUCCACGUCCGAAAAAGGCAGCAUUUAGCUUGAAAAACAGUGGUCCGGAUUGUUCAACGUCUAAAGAAGCUCCUUCUGUAAAUGAUGUAACAGUAGCAGUUAUUGAAGCUCGUUGAGUUUGCACUUUGCCAGUUCUUGUAGAGAUUUUGUGUUACUUCUCAAGUAUUUGUACUCAAAUCGAGAUUCCUUGUGUAGAGAAGGCAAUGCCUUUGAAAUUGUCGAUUCAUCUCUGGACGGAUCGUACCCUAUCAACGAAGUUGUGAGAUGUAUCUAAAUUGCCCUCUUAUGUGUGCAAGAGUAUUUUGGAUAUUAUACUUUAAUCCAACGGCUAAUAGGUCACUAUAGUUAUGGAAUGUAAGUAGGAUUAGAGUUUAACUUGGACUCCAAGUAAAGAUAAUAUUCCGGUUAUUCUUGAAGAAUAAGAGUUCUUGAUACUAUCCUAUUUGGAUUGAGGUUUGGUAGAUUAUUUGUUUGUACAAUAAGGCAUCCUAAUGACAUCAGAACAGAAUCCUAAUGACAUCAUUAUGGGAUUAUGCAUUCAGUUUUUUUUUUUUUUUUUUUGAAUAAACAAUAUUAUUUACACUAAGAGGUUGGGAGUAGGGUAAGCCUCAAAAUGGGGUUCAAAUUCACCUUUGACAAUAAUCAAACCUUAAACCUCUCAAUUACCAGUGAAGAUCGGAAUAUUACUAAACCGUAGUAAGUGACGAGAGAAUGCAUUAGGGUUAAGUUAGUAUAAAUGCUAAACAUAGGUCCCUGCACAUACCUCUGAAACACAACUCAAAAGAAUUCCCCAUAGGUUUGAGGUAUACUGACACGCCCCAACCCAAAUAUCCUAAUGAUACCUGCAUGGCACGUGCUGACCGACACUCGGAAGUGACGAAAGCCAUAAUUCCAUACAAGCACAAGAAAAUAUCAGCACCUGAAGAUCAAAAAUAAUAAACAAUAACAAGAUCCUGAAUUAAACAUAAGGGUAUCGGAAAGUUCAAUGAUCAUAGAUUCGAAACAAAAGAAAUACAAAUAUGUCCAGAGCAUACUACUACACGGAACUACAAGUGCAAAUAAGAAUUCAGAUUACAAUUCAGCAAGAAAAUCAUACCCAAAUGGAAGAGCUCAAAGUCACUGGUAGGGAAAUACCUCGACACUCGGGUCGUACUCCUCGUCACAAGGUCCUAAGUGGGCACAAAACAGAAAAGGUGAGUGGACCAUAGUUAUAUUUAUACUAAUACUAUUCAAACCCAAAUUCUUUCUUAACAUAAUAACCCCCUGCUUUGAAAACAGAUAUAAUACUACGUAUAGGUUUUUCUAAAACUCUAGCAUGCUAGAAAAGUUUGUAACCAUAAAAUCAUCUCUAAAACAUGCAUCUCGAAAUGCCCGAAGGCAAAACCAUAAAUCCCAUCAAAGUUGUAUUCUCUAGGGGUAUCAUAGUCGCCCGAAGGCAGUACCUGUCCAUCGUCCGAAAGCGAAGCUGUACGACACUGGGUUACGUCAGUCAAGAAACAUGGUAGGCCCCAUCACCCGAAGGUGAAGCUAUACUACUCCGGGUUACGCUGGAGAAUAAACUCUAUAACAUCUCACAUUGACACUAGUUGUGACUAGUGAAGCUGUCCGACACUGCUUUUGGCAAUGAAACUAGGGGUAUAACAUAUAUCCCACUCCUCCUCAUCACAGUGUCCUAUGACCAUAGACAUCUAAUACCCGUGUUGUGUGGAUGUGUUGUAUGAUAACUCACUAGAUAUAUAUACCCAAAAUAUAACUCAAAUCUCAAAGCUCAAGUCAACAACUCAAAUCAUUCUCAUAAACCACAAAUCCAUAAUAUAUCAUAAAUCCGCAAUAUCUCAUAAGGCAUAAAAGAAAUAGUCGUAAACCUUUUCUAAGUGUGAAAUCAAUAGUUAUAACAUUUCAUAAAAUGUAAUUUAAAUAAAUCAUAAUAUAGAAAUUCGUAAAGCAAAGUAUAAUAUAAAACGUAUUCAAAUCAGGUAAUAUGAAUUUGCAUGCUAGAUGGUUAAUUAUAAAAUAUACAUUUGAUAAGGGGUCCACUCACAAGUACUCCGCUCUCGGGGAGCUGCUCGAAUUAGGGAGAACUGGAUCAUCUUCCAUCGGUGCACCUAUACACAAAAUAGAGACUAUUUAAUAAAACGCUAAAGCGAUUGAAUUUGUGAAAACGGAGUGUAGAUUUGGAAUCAGAAUGUCGAAAUUAGUCUAGAAGGGUCCCGAUCGAAAAACUCGAAAAAGUCGACGGUCAACGUUGACCAUAAAGUCAACGGUCAAUGGGUCACAGUCAACGGGUCAAAUGGGUUGGACAUGUUUGGUUGGGUUGGGCCGAGGGUCUUUGGGCCGGGUUAAGUAAAAGGACUUGGGCCUAUUUUAAUUUUAAGUUUUGGGCUUAUGCUAUGAAAUAAAAGGGCGGGCUUAGCCCGUUGUGGGCUAAAUCAUUUGGGCUCUGGGCUGAGUUGGCAUGCGGGUUGGGACGACACGAGUUACUCGUGGGUCACCGGACCCAUCGAAAGAGAACACCGGCUUUUUGGCCGGAAAUUCUCCCAACUUCGAUCUGGGGUUAAACUUGCUGAAAAAUCACAAUUCAAACAUUAAACAAUGAUGCUGGAACCUGUCGGGUCAGAAUUGGCUUGACCGUGUCAGAAUUGGCCGGGAUUCGUCACGAAACCCGUCGGGUUUCCUCGCCGGAUUCUGGAAAAAGGAAACAGAGUGCAUGCAUAAUAAAUCUCAAUGAUCUUCCACCAAAAUUCACAUGCAACAAGGUAUCUAGUGACCUAGGGUCGUGUCCAAUUGAUUUCGAUUGUCAACACCCUCAAAAUCGCCGGAAAAAACCACGGGUUCACCGUCGACAUCUGAGACCAAAAGAGUAGGUGCAUGCAGAGAGUUAAACCCCAGAUUUUUCCACAUAAUACUCGUCUAGAUGGAUUAGAAACCAACACAACCAAGAAGGAAAAAUAGUUCAUACCUGCGAUGACAAUUCAAGAGAGUUCAAGCUCUCAGUGUCAAUGGCAGAGUACGUAAAAGUGCACAGAUGCCACAUGCAACCUUACAGGUGAGUUCCCUAGGUCCUAAAGAUUCGAAGUUCAAGUUUCUAGAAGUUGGUUUGGUCCUUCUCGGAUAUAGAGAGUGAAUGCAGAAAAGAAUUAGGAAGAAGAGAGAGUGUUCAGAUAGUGGGGGAUCACGGGAGAGGGAAGGAAUAAUGGGUUGGGUUUUGGGCUUGUCACAGCCCAAAGAACUGGACCAAUUUGAUAAAACCCAACACAUGGGCAAAUUCGUAAUUUUACACUUAAAUUUUUACGGUGGGUUGUUACUAGGGAUGGGCAAAAUACCUAUGGGUUUGGGUAACCACGGUUAUCCGUCCAUUUAAAGCUCACGGUUAUGGUUAUGGGUAACUGUUUGGAUGAAUAAACGGUUAUGGGCAUAACUGUUUAUCCGUGAAAUUUAAAUGGGCGAUUAUGGGUAUUACCCACGGUUAUAACGGGUAUCCAUCAGUUAUGGUUAUUACCCGCGGUUAUAACGGAUAUCCAUUUACCCAUUUAAUUUAAUAUAUGUAAAAUUAAAAAAAAAAGUAAAAACCCUAAAUUUUCAAUCUUUUCAUGAAACUCAGAGUCUUAAACGCCCCGUCCCCGCUCAUCUCUCCCUCCUUGCUGCCCUCUCUCUCAUCUCCGAACCGAUCCCAAAAGUUUCGGCUUGCGAUUCGGCCACAUCUUUAAAAGUGUUCGGUAAUCCCGAACCAACCGAAUAUUUUAUAUAUAUAUAUAUAUAUAUAUAUAACAUAGGCAUAUAUAAAAUUAGAAGGCAUACAUGAUACUGAAGCAGAAAACUAUAUAUUAUAUAUAUGUAACAUAGGCAUAUAUAAAAUUAGAAGACAUACAUGAUACUGAAGCAGUAAACAAAAUGUUAAAAGGGAUUUCGGGUUUAAUACAGCUCUUCCAAGCAACUCUGCCCUCUCUCUCGCUUAUGUCGCCCUCUUCUGAUUCCUCACAUUGUACGAUUCAUACCUAUCAAAACUAUCUUUCAAAGACUGAGACUAUAACGGUGUUUAAUUGUCAGAAAAUAAAAAUUAUGACAAAUUUUUCUUUUAUAAUUUUCAAGUUGUUAAAAAAAAAACAUGUAGAGGGUGAAAAAAGGGUAAAUGGGUGAAAAAGGAUAAACGGGUUCAAAAAUAGGUAAACAGGUAAACGGUUAUGGUUAAAUAGGUAAACGGUUAUGGGUAUGGUUAAUUGUUUAUAAACGGUUAUGAGUAUGAGUAUAAUCGUUUAUGUAAUUACCCAACAGGUAAACGAUUAUGGGGGUAUGAAUAUAAACGGUUAUGGGUAAAUAACCGCGGUUACCCGCCCGCCAUAACCGUUGCCCAUCCUUAGUUGUUACCUAUACAAUGGUGGUGAGUGUGCAAAAGGCCUUGCUUGUGUUCUUAGUGUGUUCGUGUGCUUGCUGCAGUUCGUGGCUUGCUCUGCUGUCGAAAAUGGUUUCUCCAGGCUAGUAUUUUCAUGCUGUUUUUAUUCACAUGCACAUAUUAGGAUUUACAGAGUAUGCAACUGAGCGAGCGGCCAACAAUGUCGGCUGUCAUUUUCAUGCUAUGUAAUGAAGCAGUAGCUUCUUCAAUAAAACAACCAGCAUUUUUAUUAGAGUUGUAACAGUGGGGACCCAUCACCACAGUAUUGAAGGAGAUAAUUCUGUAAAUGAUGUGACUUGUAGUAGCGUAGAACCUCGCUAAACUUAAAACUCCUGAGAUAUUCCUAAACGUUGUAUGUUAAACUACUAUUGGUAGCAGCUUGUAAAAGGUUAUUAACCACAAAAAUUUUGCUUCUAAUAAGUAGUUCCAAUUUUCUUUCUAGUGCAUUGACAUGCGGGACGUCAGAAUUAUUGGUCUCGAUUGUGACGUAAUUGAAGAGAAAUUGUACUAGUCUACUUGGCUAGUUCUUUAAAUUAUGUGACAUGUACUAUUGUGGAGGCUUAGCUAACAUAAAAUUUGGCACAAAAUUGAGCUUAAUGAUGUUCUAAAAUUCAUACAGCGCCGACCUCAUUUAAUGAGAUAAGACUUUAUUGUUGUUGUUUGUACUAUGGAUGAUGCUUGAUUUCUAACAGCCUUGGAUUUGAAAUGUAAAUCCGUCCUCUACAUAUGACACAUUCACAUUUAUUAGAGUUUAAGAAUGAGAGAUUUGUGUUAAUCAAACUUCAUGUACAGGAAAGAAGAUGUUGAUCAGUGAUGCUUUAAUGCCAAAUAAAUAAUCCUAGGACUUUUCAAAUUGGUUUACCAUUAUUUAUUUUAUUACGGAUCGCUUUUACCAUAGUAUCCAUUACUAAAUUACUAAUCACAUCUUAGCAUUCAGGCCAGCCCUGAGGGUAGCCGAGGUAGGCCGCCUAGUGCCCCCAAGUUCGGGGGGCCCCCAAAUUUUUUUAUACAUCCUGCAUAUAAAAUAUAAAUAAAGAAAACGUAAGAAACACCACAAUUAUUUUGUUGGUGCAGUGGAAACGGUUCCACUCUGUUUUCAUUGAGGUGGGCAGUUCGAAACACCUUGUAGGUAUUAGUUUUUGCGUUUUUCAAAUCUAUGAAAUUAAAGAUUAAAAUUAAAGAUAAAUUGCUCUUUAAAAAUUGUAAAAUUACAAGAAUCAAAAGGAGUUAAAAUAAUUCAACAAAUAUUAAUUUUGAAUGAAUUUAAAAUUUUCAACUUUAGAAAAAAAAAAAAAAAAAACCUCAUGGUAGUGAGUGGUUUAUGUUUAAAUUCUUAUUUAUUUUCAAAAAUAUUUUAAAUAAAAAUUGUAUAAAUAGAAAAAACUUGAGUUUCUUAAAUAAAAAACAUACAAAGGCCAAUUGUAAGAAGCUAGUGAAAUUAAUGGCCUCAAUUUGUCCAAAUGCAUUUUUUUUUCUUUUGCUUUUGAAAAUAACCUAAAAAAAAUAACAAAAACCAGAAUAAUCAUAACUUUGUAAUCCUUUUUCUUUCAACUUUCCAGUCUUUCUAUUUCUGUUGAAUGUUUAAGCAACUAUCACUUGGUCCUGAAGAUUGUAAUUUGAGGUAACCAUAACUUUGAAUUUAAAUUUUCUUUUUCAAUAAUUUAUUGUUAAACUAGGUUAUUCUAAAAUUUGAUUUGCUAGUGUGUGUUGAUUUUAGAAAGAACACAAGAGAACCACUAGGCGUUGUUGAAUUAUUAUAUUCGUCAAUCAAGUUUUAUUGUUUUUUACUCUCUUGAUCAUCAAGUUUUAUUGCUCUUCACUCUCAAUCUUAGUGCAUUUGCGUCUAAAGACAUGUGACAUGGAAUAUUAAGUAAUGUUAGUAUAUAUUUUUUUUUUCUUUUGAUAUUAAUUUAUAAUGAUAUUGGAUAAGCUCAUAUUUAUAUAUAUUUUACAUCAAAUUCACUUGUCUUUUCUUAGUUAGUUCCUUAUAUUUUUGAGCUAUUUACAUUGUUUUUGUGUUUUGUGGGAUUUGUCAAGCCAAGAAAAGAAAAAUAGCACAAAUAGGAUUUUUAGUAACAAAUUCGUCAAAACUGCCUGUGCAGAUCAGCUGACUUUGGAAGCAAGUUGCGAACAGCUCAGAAUGAAUUAGAGAAUGAGCCUUAUAUGCUUGGAAAUCUACGGAUGUCUAUUUUCUGGAGCAUUUCGCAGAUUGUUAAUAUCAUUUUUGUAGAAGAAGUUAUGGCCAUUUUAACACUAAAAGGUUCACAAGAGACUGAGCAGUUUGUAACUACAAUGAAAGCAAUAAACCCAAUAAGUCUAACAUCCAAAACUGAUGCAGCCAAGAACAAGUCAGCUGAUACCUAUUCAAAUAUCAGGGGAAAUGGAAAUAAAGAUGAGAAUUAAGUGGGAGUAAUGGGCAUAAAGGCUACCCAAAGAGUUACAAUUGUUUUACCAUUUCCUCUCACUUAUGGUCAUCACUAAAUGAUUGUUAGUGGGGUGAGUGAUGGAAAACAAAACUGGGAUAUCAAGCAAGAACAAAAAGGUGCAGGUUGCAGCUGCAAAGUGGGGGGGGGGGAAUAGGAGAAGAAAAAAGAAAAGAAAAGAAAGAGGACAAGGCAGCAGUGUUGGGGAAGGAAAGGAAGGAGGAAAUCUUGACAUUCUCUUCUCUCGGUUUUAUCUUCUCAAACUCAUGUCUUUCUUUUGGUUUUAUUUGAUAAUAAUGUGUAACUAAAUUCUUAGUAGUUAGGGGCUGUUUUGAAGCCCCAAAUAUGAUUACAAGUUUGUUAUGACAUUUUGUUUGAAUUACUUUUAUGAAUGGAUGAAAAUUGAUUCACUACUUGUCUCAUUGAUGAAUUAUUUAUGUGUUUUCUACGGAUGCAUACUUAGUAAGCAUAUCUAGGAUUCUAAAGCUAUGAAUAUGUAUGUGCCUGCCCUUGUCGAAUGAGAACCUACAUAUGUUCUAGAGUAGUACUUGUCAAUUGCGAUUAACAUGUGAACUAAUUUCUAGGAUAAGUAAGACAACGUCAGUACUUACGAUGCCAUUCUAGAUUGCAUGCUAGGGACUAAGUUAAGUUGAAAACGUCAUUCUCUUAACAUACUACAUAAGAAAGAGUAAUUUCGUAGAAUUUAGGUAAGUGUAAGUUGGUCUAAUAAUUAUUUUUCGGUGGCUGGUCAGUAGGGACAGCAACUAGUUUACCCUUAUUUUCAUAUGCUACAAUUGACAAAUCUUAGUGUUAAUGAGGAAAAUCAAUAAGACAUUUGUGUGCUAUUUUAUGGUGUGCUUUUAAUCCUAUCAAUAUUCGAUGAAGAAAUAUACUUUUUAUGUAAUUAGCGAAUUCUUCUUACUACAUACCAAUAUACAAAGAGUCGGAGGUCCGAGAACUUUAGGGCCCCACUUUGAAGACUCGCCUAGGGCCCCCAAAUUCUCAGGGCCGGCCCUGCUAGCAUCUUACCACCUUCUAGCACAUUUAUUAGGUGUUAGAUUUUAUCACAAAAAUUAAAAACAAAACCAUUCAUUGUAUUUUGUAAUUUAUUUUACCAAUUUUUCGACAUGAGAUAUUUUUGCAUUCUUCAACAGCGUGCACAUCUCUCAACCUAGUCGCUACGGGUAGCACUUAAACUCCUCAAUGAGAAAGCUAACCAUGAAUCCUACUAAUUUUUUUUGUCAAUAUUGUGUUGCUCAUCUUCCUUGUGAUUCUUCCCUCUUCCAUUUCGGCUGCUCUAGACGCCAUUACACCAAACCAACCCCUAAGAGAGGGCGACGUUCUUCUCUCCACCACUAAAAUCUUUGCACUAGGGUUUUUUAAAGCCAAGCAAUUCUCAUAACCGUUACGUCGGAGUUUGGUAAAACAAAAUUCCAAUCAAAACUGUUGUCUAGGUUGCAAACAGAGAAAACCCCAUAAUUCCCCUAUUGCUGGAACUGGACGCGCCCUAUAUUAGAAAAGUAUUCUCAUUGAAUGAAUAAUUAGAGUACAUUUGGUAUUUAUACAAAGAGCUAUAUUUGACAGCUCAUCAAAACUAACCUAUAACUAUCUAAUAACAAACUAACUUUCCAAUGACUAAUUACAACAGAAAUCACUAACUAUCCAAUGACUAAUUACAACAAAAUCAAGAUAAACAAUUAUCCUUAAUAUGCCCCCUCAAACUGAACUUGGGCAACCGAAGUGAUAGUUUGUCUUAAGCAACAGAAAACGAGACUUGGACAGAGAUUUAGUACAUAUAUCUGCAAUUUGAUCAUGUGAACAUACAAACUGAACAGUUACAGCUUUAGAGAGAACUUUUUCCCUGAUAAAAUGAUAGUCAAUCUCCACAUGUUUAGUCCUUGCAUGAAAUAAAGGAUUUUUUGCUAAGGAAAUCGCAGAAAUGUUAUCACACCACAAUUUUGGUGGAUAUGGAAGAGAUAGACCAACAUCAACAAGCAAUUUACAAAGCCAUGAAAGCUUAGCAGCAGUGUUAGCAAGAGAUCGAUACUCUGCUUCAGUGGAUGAGCGAGCCACUGUUGGUUGCUUUUUAGCACUCCAACUAAUAAGAGAGUUUCCAAGAAAUAUGCAAUAACCUCCAGUUGAUCUUCGGUCCAAGGCUUACCCUGCCCAAUCAUCAUCUGAAAAGGCAUUUGUAAUGAGUGAAGAUGAUGUUUUUGGAAACCAUAGUCCCAAAUCAAGAGUGCCCUUCAAGUAUCUCAAUAUUCUUUUAACUGCCUGCAAGUGAGACUGUCUGGGUUGAUGCAUAAGCUGACAGACCAAGUUAACAGCAAAGGAUAGAUCAGGUCGAGACCAAGUAAGGUAUUGUAACCUUCCUACAAUUGAUUUGUACUCAUCUGGAUGAGAGAGCAAUGGAGAAGAGUGGUCAAGUUUUGAUGUACUGAGAGGUGUUGCACAUGGUUUUGCACCAGCCAUGUUGGUCUUGGUAAGUAGAUCAAGAAUAUACUUGGGUUGUGAGAUAAAAAUACCAGAUAAUGACCUUUUAACCUCAAUUCCAAGAAAGAAAUGAAGAGGACCCAAGUCCUUGAUUGGAAAUAGAGAACUCAGUUGAGCUAUUGUGUCUUUGCAAGCCUGUGAAGAGGGACCCGUGACCAAGAUGUCAUCAAUAUAGACUAGGAUAAAAACCAGAGAAGGUUCAUUCUUGACAAAAAGAGAAUGAUCAUUAUGUUAUCCAUGAAAUCUCAUUGAUUUAAGUGCACCAUGAAGCCUCUCAUACCAGGCGCGAGGAGCCUGCUUUAGUCCAUAAAGACUCUUGUGAAGUUUGCAAACAUAGUGGGGCUUUGUAGGAUCUUGAAAACCAUAUGGUUGCUGCAUAAACACAUUCUCAGAUAGAUUACCAUGUAAAAAGGCAUUACUAACAUCAAACUGAUUGAGAAACUAAUCAUACUGAGAUGCUAGUGUGAGAAGAAGCCUGAUGGUUACUGGUUUAGCCACAUGGUUGAAUGUUUCUGUAUAAUCUAAACCCUCAUGUUAAUGAAAACCCUUGGCUACUAAACGAGCCUUGUAUCUGUCAAUAGUGCCAUCAGCUUUCCUUUUAAUACGGAACACUCAUUUACAACCAACAUGAUUAUGAGAAGGAUGUGGGGGAACAAGAAACCAAGUGCCUAUGUGAACCAGGACAUUAAAUUCCUCUUGCAUAUCUUGUCUCCAGUGAGGAUGUUUUGAAGCUUGGAGAUAAGUAGCAGGAAGAUUAUCUGCAGAAAUUUGGGAAGGAAGAGGGUGUUUGGUAGCUGAAUAGGCUUUUGGUUUAAAAAUGUUGGAUUUUGAUCUUGUUUGCAUAGGAUGAGUGUUUAAAGGUGGGGUUGGUGAUAUGUGUGAGGAAUGAGGAGAGACAGGGUGAGGAGAAUGAGGGAGAGGAGGUGAAAAAGUUGAAGUAGAAAAAGGUGCAUAUUGAUUUAGGUUGAUUACAAGUUGCAUAGGAUAAGAUGCUGCAGGGAAUUUGGUGAAGGUAAGAGUUGAAGGUAUGGGAGAGGAAAAGAUUGAGGCUGAGGAUGAAGAAGAUGAAACUGGAGAAACUUGAUGAAAUGGGAAAGUCAGCUCAUCAAAGAUGACAUGCCUUGAAAUAUAAAUCUUGUUGGAUUGAAGAUCAAGACAUCUAUAGCCAUUGUGAUUGAGACUAAAGCCAAGAAAGACACAGGGCUUGCUUUUGGGUUCAAGUUUGGAAGCUACAUAAGGUUUUAGCCAAGGAAAACACCUGCACCCAAACACUUUACGUGUUGUAUAAUCUGGAGGCUUGCUGAAAAGUUGUUCCCAAGGACAGGAUCUAGACAUAGUAGGCAACCUGUUUAUGAGAUAAAAUGCUGUGGAGAAUGCUUCAACCUAGUAAACAUGAGGAACAUGAGAAGCAGCUAAAAGUGUGCGAGCAACUUAUACUAAAUGUCUAUGCUUGCGCUCCACACAGUCAUUUUGUUUUGGUGUGUGAGGGCAUGAGAGUUGAUGAUGAAUGCCAUUGUCUUUAAGAUAUUGAAUAAACACGGAACUAAGAAAUUCACCAUCAGAGUUAGAUCGUAAAGUGACAACUUUAGUAUUUAACAAAGAUUCGACAAGAACUUUGAAUUCAACAAAGGUUUUAAAGACCUCAGAUUUACAUUUGAUCGGAAAGAACCAGUUAUAUCGACUGAAAUCAUCCACUAUAAAAAGAUAAAACCGAUAACCAGAUACAGAGAGAAAUGGAGCUGGACCCCAAACAUCUGCAUGUAAAAGUUCCAAAGGUCUAGUGGUAACACUAGAAGCUGAUACAAAUGGCAGUUUUGAACUUUUACCCAAUGCACAAUUUGAACAGAAGGUUUUAUUCAUAAUAGUAGUGAGAGGAAUACUAGACUUAGACACAAGUUUAUGUAAAACUUUGAAAGAGAGAUGACCCAAUCUUUGACGCCAAAUCUCUGGAGAAGCUUUGAUAGUAGCUGCAAAAUCUUAUGUGAACCAUCAUUGACAGAUGUAAUGAAUGGAUAAAAUCCAUUUUGCACAGGUCCUUUAAAAAGCGUCCUCUUCGAAAUAUGAUCCUUCACAGCGAAGUGAAAAUGAUAUAGGCGAAUUGAACACCAAUUAUCAAGUGUAAAUUUAUUUGCAGAGAGUAAAUCUUGCUUCAAAUCAGGCACAUGUAACACAUCAUGCAAAUCAAAACGAUGAUGAGGAGUAGAUAUAGAGGUAGAACCAGAAUUAGAUAUAGGCAAACCUUCACCAAUGUAGACUUGUUCAGGGCCGGUGUAUGGUGCUGGAUUUUGAAGAUUCGCCAGAGAACUUGUCAUAUGUGAGCUAGCUUCUGAAUCAAGAAGCCAGGAAUGAGAAGUACUCUGUGAAGGAUUAGCACACAUAGCCAUCUAAGAAUGUCGAUUGCCAAACUGAGGAUUCAUACAAUGAGGGCAAUCAUAGGCUUCAUGAUUAUACUGACGACAUAUUUGACAAGUUGAUAUUCUGCCACUGAAAUUAAAGCCCGAGCGACCUCCACAAUUGUUCCUCUGAGUAUAGCGAGAGUAAUUUGGACGCUGACUGUUACCACAAUAACCGGAGAAAUUGCCCUUAUUUUGAGAAUUCCUAGGGUUAGACAAAAUGCGAGCUUGAGAACAACCUUGAUACUGAUUAAACUAAGAUGAAUUCUGAGCAAGAAAGGCCUGAGAGCCAGUAUUGGAAGUCGGUGUAGGAAGAAUGCCAGAGGAUAAUGCAAGAUUCGAAUUGAGGCCUGAAAAACGCCAGAGGAUGUAGUAGCUUUCUUGCGAGUGGUAAGCUGAAUUUCUUUACUUAGAAGUAAGCCAUGUAACUCAUCAAGUGUUGUAGAGCCAAGACGGAAUUGGAUCGCAUCAACAAAGGAAUCAUACUCCGGCGGCAGGCUAUGAAGAGUUAUAGAAAUCAGAUCAGAGUCUUCAGUCGGAGCUUCGGCGCUGGCAAGAGCAUCAGCAAUGUCUUCAAUUUGUUGAAGAUAAGCAAAGGCGGUGGAAUCACCUUUUGAAAUAUUAUGAAGACGAGAUCGGAGUUCAUGAAUAUGUGAUUGAGAAGCUGCUGCAAGGCACGAUUCAAGCUUAGACCAUAGCUCUCGAGAGGAAUUUACACCCAUAGUAUAGGGAAUUAGGGAUUCAGAAAGUGUAGAGUUGAUCCAUAUGAGAAUAUUUUGAUCAUUCGCAUACCAAGAAACAUAGUCAGGGUUGAAAUUGCGAUUACCGGAAGAAUCAAGAAGAAAUUGAGGCGGUGCCGCCAUAGAUCCAUCAAUGAGACCGGUAAGAUUGUAGCGACGGAAGAUUGGGGCAAAGAGAGCACUCCAGGUCAAGUAAUUUGUAGUGGUGAGCUUGAUUGGCACCAUAGAUCCGAUGUUUUGGAUCAUAAUGGAGGUAGAAGAGAAGAAUUAGGGUUUGAGGAAGAAGUCGGAAUGGGAUGAACAUGUGUAGCCGAUUCCGACGAAGGAUACGCCAUGGCUGAAUUGAUGAGAGAAACUUGAAGAGAUCAAACGCGAUCGAGAAAUCGAUCAGAGAAUCAGAGAAUCAGAAAAGAGAAAAAUUGUAGGGAGAAGCGAGAAGGAUUGGAUCGAAGAGGGAGAAGUCAAAAGACAAAGGCAGGUGAUACCAUAUUAGAAAAGUAUUCUCAUUGAAUGAAUAAUUAUAGUACAUUUGGUAUUUAUACAGAGAGCUAUAUUUGAUAGCUCAUCAAAACUAACCUAUAACUAUCCAAUACCAAACUAACUGUCCAAUGACUAAUUACAACAUAAAUCACUAACUAUCCAAUGACUAAUUACAACAAAAUCAAGAUAAACAACUAUCCUUAAUACCCUAGCCAUUCAUGGAGAUCAUGGUGGCCUUGUCAUAUAUGGGGAGGACCAAAAUACCCCUUUCUGGUCCGCUAAUGUCACCGUCUCUUCUCCAAACAAAUUCGUGGUAGCCAAGCUUUUGGAUACGGGCUGGACAGGCAGUCCGGGCUAAACCGGUUCCCCACAUCUUGGAAGUCCCAAAAUGACCCGGGAACGGGCAACUGUUAGUACCGGAUAGAGUCAAGUGAGAGUCCACAGCAGUUCUUAUGCAAGGGUCAGACUCCAUUAUGGGGGGCAGUGGCGAAGCUACGUGAGGACGAGGAGUGGCAGCCGCCCCUCCCCUCGCCGGAAAUCAAGCACAGGAGCGGCGAUUCCGCCCCUCCGAUCUCGUCGGAAGUGAUGAAAUUCCGUUUGGUUUUCUGGCCUUUUGGGUUUCCCUGUUCUAUCACAGCACAGGCUGAUCACGGGCUCUCUUUUUUUUUCCAAAAAAAAAAACCUAGGCCAAAGAAAUGAGGAAUGAAGAUCUGCAUUUAGCAGCUUCUGGAUAUUGGAAAUGUUCUGGUUUGGUUCUAACGAAGAAGAGGAGAAAGGAAGAAGAGAGAGACUCUCUCUCUCCCAUCCCACCCCACGUGACCUUUACAAUUUGUUUUUUUUUUAAAUAUUGGCCAACCAAUAUGCGCCACCUAACCUGCUUUUGUUGAUUUAUAUUGGAAUUUAUUUUAUUUUUUAAUUAUUGUCCAAUUAAUUUGACCAAUCUUUCAAUAUUUAUUAAACCACUUGUUUGACACUGUUAUUUAUCUUAAAAUUCACUAUAAUUUAUACGAGCUUCAAAAAAUAAUUUGUAAAAUAUUAAAAACUUGUAAUUAUGUUUUUUCUUCUCUUACCAUCAAAUUCAACAAAGUAAUGAAGAAAAUUUGUCAAUAUUUUUAUAUAUUAUAUGUUUUAUAAUCAAUGUUUUUUGGAUAUUACAAACUAUAUAAUAAAUAGACAAUUAUUUAUACGGUGUAUAAUAAAUUUAUUCAAAUUUGCCUAGGUCCUUGCCGAAGUGUAAAGUCAUGUCCAUCGUCUGACUAGAGCUUAACAUCUUUUAAAACUUUGCUAAUUAUACAGUUAAGUAAUAGGACGAUACAACGAGAAACGGUGCUAAAUCAUCCUUCAAAUAAUAUUGUUUUUCAAACCCUCCUUCGACUAUUUUGAGUAGUCCAAAUCCUCUUUUGAAUAUUUCGGUUAGUGCAAAUUCUCCUAUGAAUAUUACGGGUGGUUCAAAUAAUCUUCUUGCAAAUGCAAGACUUACACCUCGAAUGAAUGUUCACAUUUUUCGGGACCCUAAAUUUUUUAAAUUUCGCCCCUCCCCCCAAGAAUUCCUGGCUUCGCCACUGGUGGGGGGCUGGAUCUUGGACCAGUGAAAGAUGGUCCAGGGUGCCUGCAAUGACGAAAAUUUUCAUCUUCAACGCUACUUUUGUGAACAAUCAAGAUGAGGUAUCCGUCAUGUAUGGUAUUGUUGAUGAAUCAAUCUUCUCAAAAUUGGUGAUCGAUGAAUCAGGAAUCCUUGAACGGACCAAAUGGCAAGAUCAAGCGCAUCAAUGGGUCAAGUUUUGGUCCGCCCCGGUUAAGCAAUGUGAUUUUUACUGGAAGUGUGAUUUUUACAUUGCGGAUAAAUUUGAGUGCAAUUGCCUACCUGGAUUCGAACCCAAGUUGCAACAUGAGUGGUAUUUGAGAGAUGGGUCAGGCAGGUGAGUGAGGCAAAAAGGAUCAUCCGUUUGCCAAAACGGGGAAGGGUUUGUGAAGUUGGAACGUGUGAAGGUGCCGAACGCUUCUAUGACACGGGAGAGCAUGAGUAUGAGUCUGAAAGCAUGUGAAGAAGAAUGCCUGAGAAAUUGUUCUUGCAUGGCAUACGCAAUUGCAGAUGAAGGGCAGGGAGGGAGUGGGUGUAUAACAUGGCAUGGGGACUCGAUGGACACAAGGACUUAUUCGGAUACGGGUCUAGAUUUAUAUGUGCAAGUUGAUGCAAUUGUUUUAGGUAUAUUUUCAUUAUCAAUUUAUCUUCUUUCUUUCUUUACAUUAUCAAUAAUUUUCCUCGUACCGUCGACGUUCCAUGAAAAAAAAACUCUUCUUUCUUUUAUUUCAUAAAAUAUUUGAGGAAUUAUUAUUUAGUUUGGGAGCCGUACGUUUGUUAACGUUCUAAAGAAAUCAUUUGGCACGGGUCUCUUGACAAAUAAUAAAAGUGAAAUUGUUUCAUUAAGAGUGUAAGAUGAUUUUUUUGGAGUACUCAUAAAUUUUGGAAAUUAAUAUAAGUUCUCACGCUAAAAAUUGAGUUUCAUACAUCUGUUAAAAUUGUUAUUAAAUCAACCGUUAACUGGUGACGUGAUGCUUACGUGGAUAAUAAUUAAGCGCCACGUGUCAAUGGGCCCACGUGGACAUUAAAAAUAAAAAAAAUUCAAGGCUUCUCCUACCUCACCCCCUCCGUCUCUUCUCCCUUCUCCCACCUCUGCACCGACCCUUCCGCACACCAACCUUCAAUUCCUCUUCAAUUCUACGCUCUCCCUCUCUCUGUGACAAAAAAAGAAAAUUUUAACUCUUUUUUUUUCUGGGCGUCUCCUACCUCACCCCGCGCGUCCCCCCCCCCCUCCCCCCGGCGCGCCUACUCCCGUGAACUCGCCUCCUCCUUCGGGAUCACGUUCUGAUAAAAAAAAUUUAAGGAACCUAGCCCUCGGAAACCCUCCUUCAGCAAAUUCGAAGAACCAAAUCCCCGAGGGACCUGAUUUCGACCAACAACCGAAAGUGGGUGUGCCCAGGAGCGACGACUGAGGGGAUUUGCUAAGGUGGUUGUGCCCAGGAGCAACGACAGUGAAUCGGCGGCAGGAAGGUUGAAUUGAAAGGUGGGAGUUGUCUUAAUAGCGCCAUAUCACCAGUUUGUAAGAAACCUAAUUGGACUAAAUUAAAUUGUAUAAGAAAGAAAUGCAUUUGCCAAUUGUACAAACUGGUGGGAGUUGUAAACGUGCAAAACUGCUUACUAUAAUCAAGGAAUAUGUGGUGAUUCUGAUCAGGAAACAACUUGCAAUCUGAAACUGCAAAUAACUGUAAAGAACCAACGGUCCACGAUAGAUGGAAGUUGGCAAAGGUUAUACUUAUAAAAGGACUCCCUGCUCACAAAGAAAACGUUCUGUAAUUAGGGUUCUAUCACCAUUGGAACAUAAGGUCUUGAGUGAGUAGAAGAAUUCUUGAGUGUGUUAACAGUAACCAUGGCUGCACUAGGUAAGUCUUUCUUAUCUAAUUUCAAAUUGUGACCUAGUAUGCAUGCUAAUAACUAAGGUUUUUCCAACAUUUGGUAUCAAAGCUAUGUUAGCAAGCCCCUAGGUCGGAUGAAUUAAUAAAAAAUCCUAAUGCUUUAAGAAUGUACAAAAUUUGUAUGGUGAUUGCUGCAGUUUAUUUUUAUCGUGGGCACUAUAAUUCUUCCACUAAUAUGUAUUUCUCUUCUCUGUGUUUGUGUUGGUUGGUGGAGUUGGGUUUUUUGGAUCUUUUGAAUUGGAGCUUCAAAUUCCAUCGUGCAUGUGUGGUUCAAGCAUGUUGCCCAAUCUGAAAUUCUCACUCUCUCAAUCGGCUGGAUGGUGUCUUGGUUUUGUUGAUGCUUGGUUGAAGGAACAGAUAAUCAUGCUAUUUUAACCAUUGGACAAAUGUUUAUUAAAUCUUCACCAAAGUGGGAUUUUAUGGAAAUUUUGGUCUGGGACAGGAAGCAUGGAGUGAUUCAAUUUCCAAGGCUUUAACUCUUGUUGACGACGAAACCAAGCAAAGAUCGCAGGGCCUCAAGAAGAUCUUACUGGCCUCGGUCUUGGCCAUGGUGGCGGAGACGACGUUUCCGGUAGACAUUACGAAGACUUCCAUUUUGCUGCGAUAAUGACUGCUCCAAUGAUCAUGGAUUCAAUUGGGGGAAAUGCCGAAAAUGGCAAACUCCUUUCUCGAGGAGGUGCUGGACCAUGUGUUCUCAUUCAUAUAGACGAACCAGGACCGGAACUUGAUUUCGGUAGUGUGUGCAAGUUGUGGUACGAGAUCAAACUAUGGUGCUGGCGGCGUGCAAAACUGCUUCCUAUAAUCAAGGAAUAUGUGGUGAUUGUGAUCAGGAAACAACUUGCAAUCUGAAACUGCAAAUAACUGUAAAGAACCAACACUCCACGACAGAUGGAAGUUGGCAAAGGUUAUACUUAUAAAAGGACUCUGCUCACAAAGAAAACAUUCUGUAAUUAGGGUUCUAUCACCAUUGGAACAUAAGGUCUUGAGUGAGUAGAAGAAUUCUUGAGUGUGUUAACAGUAACCAUGGCUGCACUAGGUAAGUCUUUCUUAUCUAAUUUCACAUCGUGACCUAGUAUGCAUGCUAAUAACUAAGGUUUUUCCUACACAGUUAACUGCUGAUUUAACAGCAAUAUUAACAUAUGUAUGAAACUGUCCCAAACUUAUGACUUCAGGUACCAUUCUGGGAUGAAAAAAACUUCAUGUACCAAAUGUUGAAAAUCAAGAAACUUCAGAGUAGUAAAUUGAGAUUAACCUUUGUUAAAAAUUAUAAUCCUCUUAUCUGUACGGUGAUUUAUACAAAACACUGUACAAAUGGUGAUUUUUACAUAAAACUAUAUUAUAGUGAUUUCUACAUAAAAUUAUAUCAAAAAUAUUUGAGAUGGUAGUCAAAUCUUAUGCAUAAAACUCUCUUAUGAUAGUGCAAAAGUUUUUACUGAUUAGAAAUAGUUCAAAAUUGUUUGAGUGCGGUAUUGGACUUGAAUUUUUUAAACUGACUCUAGCUCAUAUCUCAUAAGAAUCAAGCCAAGCCUACUUGCGAGCUCGAAAAAAUUAAUCAAGCCAAAUUUAAACACAAUAGUAUUCGGUUCGGCUUGACUAGUUUCCAAUCCUACAUUUAUUUAUUUAUUUGUUGAUAUUUGCUCUUUACUUCUUUUCUAUAAAAUUGUUUCUUGCAAAAGAAAAGCGUAUAAUGUUGACCCAGCAAUAGAAUUAUAAUGGUCUAGCAUAACUCUUGUAUAUUAUUAUAUGGUUUUUCAAACUAAAUAAGGGCUUUGUUAUGUGCUUUUUGUAGAAGCAUUUUAAGUGUUUUUUUUAAUAUUUACUUGCAUUUUUACAGAUCAUUGAUACCAAAGCACUCUUAUUAAAAGAACUUUCAAUUAUUUAAACACUUUUAAAUGAACCCUAAAAUACAGAAAAAAAUAAAAACAAAACAGCGUAAUAGGAUGAGCUUUUCGGUUAACAUGUACAUAAUUUAGUCUAUCCACUUUGGCAUUCUAAUGGCGGCACUAACAUAAUUUAGUCUAUCCACUUUGGUAACGUAAAGAAGUGGUAAACCACGAAUUUAAACUUUGGCAGAAGAAAGCAAAAGAGUUGAAUAAAUUAUUACUGGAUGGUUCAAUGAACCCAAAAAUAUCAGAUUUUGGCAUAGUAAGAAUGUUUGGGGAUGACCAAAUUGAAGCAAACACGAACAAAGUUGUUGGCACCUAGUAAUUGUCUCCUCUCCCUAUAAAAAAAAUAAAAUUAAGUAGAACCGAUAUAUAUAUAUAUAUACAUUUUUUUUGAUAUUGUGUGAUUGCAGCGGUUACAUGUCACCAUAGUAUGCUAUGGAUGGGUUAUAUUCCACAAAAUCCGAUGUGUUUAGCUUUGGAUGCUUGGCACUAGAGAUCAUUAGUGGAAGGAAGAACAGCUUCCAAUUCGAAAAGUCAUCUUUGAAUUUGGUUGGAAUAGUAAGUAAACAAAUAAUUUUUCAGACGAUGAAUCUAACUUUCGAGUAGUCCAAUGAUCUAAACAUUGUGCUCAAAAUUGUUUCAAAUAUGGGAUUUGUGGACAGAAGGAAAAGUUUUGGACAUAAUUGAUUCAUCACUGAAGCAGUCAUAUUCGACUCAUGAAGUUAUGAAAUACAUUCAGAUUGGGCUUUUGUGCGUGCAAGAGUACCUAACAGACCGGCCAACCAUGCUAGAUGUUGUGUUCAUGUUGGGGAAUGAAACGAUUCUUCCACAUCCGAAAAAGGCAACGUUUAGCUUGAAAAACAGUGGUCUGGAUUCUUCAAUUUGUAAAGGUUCUUCUUUUGUAAAUGAUGUAACAAUAAUAGUUAUUGAAGCUCGUUGAGUUCGCACUUUGCGGGCUCUUGUAGAGAUUUUGCAUUACUUCUCAAGUUUUUUUACUCAAAUCGAGAUUCCUUGUGGAGAGAAGAGGCAAUGCCUUUGAAAUUGUUGAUUCAUCUCUGGGCAAAUCGUACCCUGUCAACGAAGUUGUGAGAUGCAUCUAAAUUGCCCUGUUAUGGACUGUAAGUAGGAUUAGAGUUUAGUUAUAAGCUAUAACUUGGGUUCCAUGUAAAGAUAAUAUUCUAGUUAUUCUUGGAGAAUAAGAGCUCCUGAUAUUAUCCUAUUUUGAUUUAGAUUUGGUAGAUUAUUUCCUCGUACAAUAACGAGUCCUACUGACAUCAUUAUGGGAGGAUGAAUUAGGUUUUUUUUUUAACAAACGAUAUUAUCUACACUAAGGGGGUGGCAGAGUGGGCUAUGCCUCAUAAUAGGGUUCAAAUUUGCCUUUGGCGAGAAUCGAAUCUAAACCUCUCACUUACCAGUGAAGAAGAAUAUCAUUAGACUGUAGUACUAAGUGGCGGGAGGAUGCAUUAGGAUUGAGUUAGUAUAAAUACUAAACAUAAGUCCCUGCACAUACCACUAAAUAACAACCCAAAAGAAUUCCCCAGAGGUUUGAGUUAUACAAUGGUGGUGAGUGUGUAGGCGGCCUUGCUUGUGUUCUUAGUGUGCUCGUGUGCUUGCUGCAAUUCGUGGCUUGUUGUGCUAUUGAGAAUGGCUUCUCAAGGUUAGUGUUUUCAUGGCGUUUUGAUUCACAUGAACAUAUUAGGUUUAACAGAGUAUGCCACUGAGCUGCCAACAAUGUCGGUGGUUGUUUUCAUGCUAGGUAAUGAAGCAGCAGCUCCAUCACCAAAACAACCAGCAUUUUUAUUGGAGUUAUAUAUAACAAUGGAGACCCAUCACCACAAUACUGAAGGAUAAAAUUUUGUAAACGAUGUGAGAUGUAGUAGCGUAGAACCUCGCUAAAACUCUUAAGAUAUUCCGAAAUGCUGUAUGUUAAGCAACUAUUGGUAGCUUGUAAAAGGUUAUUAACCACAAAAAUUUUGCCUCAAAUAAGUAGGUUCCAAUUUUCUUUCUAGUGCAUUGACAUGCAGGGCAUGUCAAAAUUAUUGGUCUCGAUUACAACGUAAUUGAAGAGAAAUUAUACUAGUCUAGUUAGCUAAUUCUGUAAAUUAUGUGACAUAUAUUAUGGUGGGGCCUUAGCUAACAGAAAACUUGGCGAGAAAUCGAGCACAAUGACAUUAUAGAAUUCAUACAACUGACUUUACUUAAUAAGAUAAGACUUUAUUGUUGUUGUUGUUUGUACUAUGGUGGAUGCUUGAUUGCUAACAGCCUUGGAUUUGAAAUGUAAAUCCGUCCACUACAUAUGACACAUUCACAUUUAUUAGAGUUUAAGAAUGAGAGAUUUGUGUUAGUCAAACUUCAUGUACAGGAGAGAAGAUGUUGAUCUGUGAUGCUUUGCUUGCCAAAUAAAUAAAAGGAAAAUUAAUGAAAAUGACUUGAAAACUUUGAAUUUUAACAAAAAUGACAAAAAGAUGUUGUAAGUGAAUAGUACGAGGAGUGACUUUUUAGAGUAAAUUCGUUAAAGUAAACAGUACCAAAAGUAUUUCGUUAAAACUCCCGUAAAUAAAUUCCAAGACUUUUCAAAUUGGUUGACCUUUAUUUCAUUUUAUAACAGAUCGCUUUUACCAUAAUGUCCAUACUAAUCACACCUAGCAUUUUACUAUCUACUAGCACAUUACGGGGUGUUGAAUUUUAUGACAAAAAUGAAAGUUAAAAUCAUUUAUUAUAUAUUGUAAUUUAUUUAUCAAUUUUUCGACAUAUAUUUUUGCAUUCUUCAACAGCGUGAACAUCUCUCUCCCUGGCCACUACGGGUCGUACUUGGCCCCAUUCGGAGCCAAUUUGUCUUAUCAAUCUACUGAAUACAACUGGUGUGGUCAGAAUUGAUGAAGUGGAACUUUCUAGCUAGGAUCAGUUUGAGGGAAUUGUUAUGUCUCGUCCACAUGUUUGCCUGGAAGUUGCGUGUAAGUUCAUGUUGCAUCAACGACUGGAAAUCGAGGGUGCGUUCACCGUUGCAUCAACGACUGGAAGUCGCCCGUAUGCCCUUAGAGUUACUGAAACUCAAUCCAAGAAAACAAAAUCCAACCUUUCCGGCUUUUUGUUUCUGCAUGUCAAAAGAAGCAGCCAUUUUAGCACUUAAACUCCUCCAUGAGAAAGCUAACAAUGAAUUCUACUGAAUACUUUUUUGUCAGUACUGUAUUGCUCCUCUUCCUUGUGAUUCUUCCCUCUUCCAUUUCGGUUACCCUAGACGCCAUUACACCAAACCAACCCCUAAGAGAGGACGACGUUCUUCUCUCCACCACUAAAUUCUUUGCACUAGGGUUUUUUAAGCCAGGCAAUUCUCGUAACCGUUACAUCGGAGUUUGGUACAACAAAAUUCCAAUCCAAACCAUUGUUUGGAUUGCAAACAGAGAAAACCCCAUAGUUCCUACUGCUGGAACUGGACUUCUAGCCAUUCAUGCAGAUCACGGUGGCCUUGUUUUGUAUGGGGAGGACCAAAAUACCCCUAUCUGGUCCACUAAUCUCACCGUCUUCUCCAAACAAUUCCGUGAUAGCCAAGCUUUUGGAUACGGGAAAUCUUGUUGUAGUUGAAAUUAAUGGCGGUAGUAGUGAAAAGGUGUUGUGGCAAGGUUUUGAUUAUCCCACAAAUACGAUGCUUCCUGUUAUGAAACUUGGGCUGGACAGGCGAUCCGGGUUCAACUGGUUCCUCACAUCUUGGAAAUCCCAGGAUGACCCGGGAAUGGGCAACUGUUCGUACCGGAUAGAGCCAAGUGAGAGUCCACAGGGGUUCUUAUACAUGGGUCAGACUCCAUUGUGGCGGACUGGACCUUGGAUCGGUGAAAGAUGGUCCGGGGUGCCUCAAAUGCAAA